GAUGGAGAAGGAGAGGGGCUUGGACUAACUACUGGAUCUUCUAUUUCGAGGGCAUUGAUCUUGAUUUUAAUCUUUUGGCCGGCUUUGCAGUGACCAGGUUCACCGCAAAUAACAUAGUAGGUGCCGGGUAUAUCAAAAGUUAAGGCGGUAAAGGUACCGUAAUGAGAUAGAGGAAGUGAUGGAAUGCAAUAGUUAUAAUCUGCUUGAGUGACUAUCAUCACAAAAUCAUAUUCAUGUUUGUAAUUAAAUAUGAACUCGUCGCCCACAUAAAAUUCUUUCGAUGAAGCCCACUCGUUGUAAUCAACCGCGCCACUGUCAGUCCACCCUUACAAAUCGUCACCAACCGUAUAAAUGGUAGCAGAACAAACACCAAAGAAAAUCAUCAUGAUGAUGAAACUCACGGCAACAGUGUUUCUAGAGCCAUGACUAAAACAGUAAACGAUAAACAAGCAAUUAGGAAAGCAGAAAGCAAAGAGAAUGAAUGAAUGAAAUUUAGAUAAAAGGCAAUAAUGCGUGAGCAUGCGUAUAUAUACAUAGAUAGAUAGAUAUAGUUAGUGUCCCAAAUGGAAAAUGUUUCCCAAAUCCAGUUGGAAAACGGUCUAUAAAAUCAGACGAGUAGUAGGAAUUCUAUUUAGGAAUAAUAUUGCCUAAGCUUAAUUAAUAAUCGAAUUCCAAUUUUCUCCCGUUUUGUCGGCUGGUUUUGCUUCCAACUUCUGCUUGUUUCCAUGUAUGAUGAAACAUUUUAUUAUAUAAAUCACAAUGAAGAAGUGAGAAUCGAACUUGGGCAUUUGGGUUGCAUGAUGCAAAUUUAGUGCAUAAAAAGAUUCAAAUUUCUCAUUAGCAUUUGAGAAAAAGAAGAGGAAUUUAUCCAACCUGUUUGUACUAAUUGUAGAAAAAGACUUAAUAACUUGUUCAAAUUUAUUAGACAAUAUUUUUGUUUUUUUGAAAAAACGAUAUUAUCUACAUUAAGGGGGUGUGGAAGUGGGCUAAGCCUUACAAUAUGCUAGCAAUAAUGUGGUUCAAACUCACUACCACUCCCAAUACCUAGUCUAUACGCCCAGUGAGCACUUCAGUAUUUGCCCACAAUAUAAAUAGGCAUGUAGAAAACGGGAGUGAGACGUAGGCGCUUUCAUUAGGGUUUUUUUUUUUUUUGGUUUUGUUUUCUUCUCUUGUCCUUAUUAUUAAAUAUAGUUAUUAGAUGAGUUUUAGUUGAAAUUCAAAAUUUUGAAGUCAUUUUCAUUAGUUUUUAUGUUAUUUUUUAACUGUAUGUAACUGUUUGUGUUUGAGCCAUAAUUAAACAAGUUGGGCCUGGCGAGGGUCCAACGUCCUUUUUAACUCAUACUUCUUAUUUUGGGUAUUUAGUUUAGCAAAAGUGAACAAUGGCUGACCCAAGAUUCAACAGUACCUUUUGACGUGGCAUGUUUGGGCGGCAAGCUCACCCUCGUUCACAUAGAAAAAAAGUUAAGAGUCAAGUUUCUCAGAGAAAAGUGCUUCAAGAUCUGUAAAUUCGAGAGGAUCAAAGCUCGAGUAUCCAAGUAAUGGCUCAUCCUUUGAAGAACUUCACAUCUCCAACUUGGAUGAAAGAGAAUGAACCGAGUUAGGAAAUCUUAAUUCUAAAAGAAGAAAGCUUCUAUAAAGGGCAGCAGAAGGAUUAGAGAAAAAGACAUUGAUCAACUCAAGCCAAAAUGACUUCUAAAAGCUCUGCAGCUUACUUUUCAAUUAUUCCUUUUUUAUCUCAAACAUUCAUUUGUAUCUAUACCUCUACUACUUUCCUUUUGUAGUAUCGAUUCCCUUUGUAGAACCCCUUCAAUAGCACAUUACCCGCAUUACACGAACUUGCCCGACAGGCUUGGAAACUUGCCCAAAUGGGUUGAAAACUUGCCCGAUGGCUUGUAUUUAUCAUUUAUUUUCAUGUUAUUGUCAUUAUGCUUUGUUUAUUACUCAUGUUAUAAAUGUUUCUUGAACAUUUACUAGUAUAUUCCUUUGUUUAUGUAUUGUGCUUUAUUUUUCUGCAUCUUCCCUUUACUCAAAGAUUGCUGACUGGUUCAAAGUCUCCUCUGAUCAGUUUGUGAUCCUUGUUCUUUGGUAUUUAACAUGAGAAAAUAAUAAAGUCCUUAUUUUCAAGGCAUACAAAAGAAGGCCAGUCUCUUGUGGCACGAGCAAAUGGCUUAUUAACAAUCUAAAACAAACAACUUAUUGGUCUUGGCCAGCAAUGGCACGACUGGGUAAAAUCACUAUUUUUACAAAAGAACCUAUGAGCCUACUCAAGGCUUGACUAAGGCACCUUGGGUUAACAAGAGUUCACCACUUGCAUUCUGGGGGAGGUUGUGUGAUAAUCCUGCAUCCUUAAUUCCGUUUUGGUCAACAGUUUUUUAAUCCGAAGUUCCAAAUCCUUAUUUUUCACUUGCUUGGCAUCAACUGUAACAAUGGAUAUUUAACCGAUUGUAAGAGUCAACCCCCUGUUAUUAUCGACGUCCUAUGACAUUUUAUACUCUGCUCCCACACCAACAUUAAAAAGCUGUCUCAUUCCCAUUUUCUUCGUACUUGGAAGCAAAACAUUGGUUCUUAAUUUCUGUUCUUACCUAACUUCUUGUGUUACUCCAAGUCCACGCGAAUGGCUCUAUCUAGACUUCCUCCAAAAGAGAAGCCAGGUCAAAGUUAAGAUGGUGUCCAGUCUUGUCAAGUUGGUGGUGAGAGUAGCUUCGAAAGUAGGGAGAGGGUUGAGCCGCCGUAUUAAGGUGACGAUACAGGUUGUGUAGCCGGAUAGCAAUCAAAUUAAUCACGUACAGUUCAUACGAGCGUUGAUGUUUUUAGCCUCAUAAUGUUAUAGAAGUGUACUGCAGUACUAUGGGUGUGUUUGUUUACCUUCAUUAAGUUUCAUUAGACUAGACUACACUAAAACUUAGUGAAAUCUUUUGUUUGUUGUCAGAAGGGAUUAGGUUUAAUGAGAUUAGCUUUCACUUGCACGGACUACAUGCCUCGCUAGCUGGCCUUAGCGAGUCCUCUCGAAACCUAUGGGAUUGCUAAGACUGUGCUCUCUCUCGUCCUUAUGCGCUCGCCUCCUCUCUCUUGGCGUCAUCUGAUCGACUCCUCUAUCACAUCCGCUUUUGCUUGACCCCUCUGGUGUCAGCCACCACUCUCCGCCGUGUUGUCGUCUGAUUGACUCCUUUCUUGCGUCCUUAUCUGCUUGACCCCUUCGGCCUCAGCCACCACUCCCCGCCGUGUCGGCUGAUCGACUCCUCUCGCGUGCUCAUCCUGCUCGACGACCUUGCCAGACCAUCCCACCGACCACUGAAACUCAAGUCACAGUCUUGCAGAUAAUUGUUGAUGUUUACGAAAUCAUAGAUUUUGUAUUUCACAGAUGUGAAAGUCCCCAAUUUUUUAUUCUCUUGCCGCUUGAUUUCGGUUUUGCUCUUUGGUACUUGCUCUAACCCUCACAAGAUUUACAAUUUCUGCUAUUGGUGAUUGGAAUUUGUGCUGUUGUCUUGGAAAUCGGUUUUUUUUUUUUGAACCAAUUUAUCUGUGAAUUUGGUGUUAUGAUUUGUGUAAAUUGCUGCUAUUGUGUUGUGGGCGUUUAGCAAUUUCUGCAAUUUUUUUUAGCAAAAUGGGUAUAUUUCGGUUUCCAAUUUUUGCAAUUUCAUUUACGAUUACUGUUAGCUUGACAUUUCUUCACAUCAUCCAGUUUGCUUCUGUUUUGUAUCCAAUUCAUUAUUCGGAUAUGUUUAUGAGACCAAAAUUCGGAUUAUUUUUUUCAUUAUCCUGUCUCUUAGUCCGACACUGCACCAAACGCUUUACUAAUUUAGUCCAGCAGUCUAAUUUAAGCUAGUACAGCUUAGUCGCUAAAGCUAGUCCAGUCCGAGAUAGUCCGGUACAACAAAAUAUGUAUUAGUAGAGCACAUGCAGGCACUUAAAAAUGCAUGAGAAAGUUUGUAAUACGGUGUGCUUUUGGUUUUAUGUAUUGAUCCUACCAUAAGGUCAUAACCAAAAGUUCGUUUUCUUCUCACUCUUUAUAUUCUUAUGGAGGAUGGAGAGUCCUACUCUUGUGGGCGAUGAACUCUUUGUUGUUCUGCAUGGCUUUUAGAGUACAACGGUAUUUCACGAAUAUGAAUUUCGAGCUAUCUGUUAUCCGGGUUCCAAAUUCAACCGUUCUUUUUGGAAUCAUUCAAGUAUGCAACAGAUAUACCUAAUGUAUCUGUUUCAGUUUAUCAAACUGUGGAUAUAGUCUUAAGGGGAUGACUCGUUGAAGAAUGUAUAGUCUCGCGACGGAAAUCUUACAAAAUAAAAUACAAUUUAUGCUUUCGACCAACGAAACAAAAAACAAUUUAUGCUGAGUACUGGUUCCUCUACUAAUUGAGUGGAGACAUUACGUAUAAAACUCCACACCCUGUUUACAUAUUUUUACCUGAGUUUUUCUUUGUCAUUUAUUCGUUUUUUAUUUUCACAAGUUUCUGCAAUUUUAAGUACAGUUGUAAACUGAGCAAAUAUAUGGGCAACAAGGUUGAUCGAGUCGUGCAAAUUUGAAGCCCUUUUUAUUUUAUUUUAUUUAUUUAUUUAUCCUAGACAGUAUCUGUGACCACAAAGAAUGACAAUUCUUUGCAGUUGAAGCCGACAGACCGUUCAUUUUAUCAGAAGGGUUAAAAACUCAAAUAUUUUUUCUGUUAUCAAGAAGUGUGGUGUUGAUAUUAGGAAGAAUCUGUAUGGAAAUAUUGUCCUCAGUGGAGGCUGCACUGUGUUAUGAUGGGACAUGGGCAUGGAGGCAAGCAAAUUAUGAUUAAUAUUUAUUUUUUUCGUUACUGAUUUGGUUUGGUUGAAAUAAAAAAAGAAAAACUAAUGAAAAGGACUUGAAAACUUUGAGUUUUAACGAUAAUGACAAAAUAAAGGGUAAAAUGAAUAGUAACAUAUUUGACUUUUUAGUGAAAAAAAUGUGGUUUUUCGUUAAAGUGAACAGUACCGGGAGUUUUUCGUUAAAGUUCCCAAUAAAAAAUCAUUUUCACUACUCUUUUUGUUGUUGUAUAUGCCUCAUCUUAUAGCUUAUCUCAUAAUAAAAAUCAAAUCGAUAUAUAUAUACAUAUAUAUAUAUAUAUAUAUAUAUAUAUAUAUAUAUAUAUGUAUUCUGAAUAAUCUUUUCAUAUAUGUAAGUAGAAACAUAGUGUGUAUUAAAAACACAAGUAAAACUAAUGAAAGUACAAAUUCAUUUACAAUCAAUCCGAAUUAAAUAAAGAAUACAUUUUGUUGAUGCACAAAAUCCGGCAGAAUGCACAAAAUCCGGCGGAUCUUGGACCAACGUAAAUCCGACCGUGAAUUAUUCAAAUUUACAAGAACACAAAUAUAUAUCGUGGUUCACCUCAAGUUGGGCUACGUCCAUACUGAUGUCGAUAAGUGUUGAUGAAGGUUACAGUAUGCAUGGAGGCUAUACAGGCUUAGUAUUUGCUCUUUGUAUUAUUCUUUGCCUCUCUGUCUGUUUCCUCUUUGUUUCCCCCCUUAGUGAAGGUGAGGAGAAUCCCUUUUAUAGAAUAAGGGUUUCCUCCUCUUACAUAAAUCAUGGGCUCAUUCCUGAAGCCCAAAUAUCGAGGCCUAAUAUCUGGUACAACAGGAGUCCCCCAAGUCUUCAGUCAAGAGAGUCCUUUGGCUGGAGACUUCAAAUUCAAUCCAUGUGUGGGCCGAAGUGACUAGAUGUCGUUCAGAACUAGUACUCGACAUGAGACGGUGCUUAACGUGAAGCAAUACUCAACCAGAGGUAGCACACGUUGCGAGGCUGCUCGGCUAAAGGCGAUGCUCGCGACGAGACGGUUGCUCGGCUGGAGGCGGUGCUCGUUGCGAGGCGGCUCGGCUUUUGGCGUUCUUCUCUGUGAGUAUGCAUUCGACGUCAGCGUGUGCUCAUUAUGAGUUGAUUCUUGACAUGACUCGGGUUUGCUUGUCGGGUUCGCAUAUUGGGUCUAUGUGUCGGGUUCGCGGAUUGGGUCCACAAGUUGGAUCUUUGAGUCGGGGCCAUAUGUAGGGUUAUCGAGUCGGGGCCAUUUGUAAGGUCAUCGAGUUGGGUCCAUAAGUUGGGUCCGUGAGUUGAGGUUCGAGCUCAAGGGUGUCCAAUUUCGUAGGUGCCCAAACGAGUGGUUAUCUAAGUUUGUGGGUGUUCAGGCACAUAUGUGUCCAAAUAAGCGAGUGUCCGAGCAAGUGGGUGUCUAGUUAGACAAGAGAUCACCGUUCAGACUAAAUCUUUGUCACCAUAAGCAUGUGGCUCGGUGAUCCAUAGGCUGAUCCAUAGUGUUGACCACCAUAAUUUGGGUCCUUGGUUAAUCAAUUAAUUGUAUGAGUAUCGUAUACAAGUAAUCAAUCAUUAAAGUGUGCAUAUUGCGGGUAAUGUCACACAUAGAUCAUAUAAACAUACAAUAAUGUAGUAUGCCUAGUGAAAUGUGUAUGUGACAAUAUAAUUUAAUGAAAUAGGAGGUGGCCGACAAUAUCAAAGGGUAAUAAUACUAAAGUUAUGAUAGGAAUGAUUAUGGUUUGUGAUGUGACCCGGCAUAAUAAACACACAUCAGUAGUCAUGUAGCUUUAAUAUAAUGACAAUGGGGACGCAUUAUAUAUAUAUAUAUAUAUAUAUUUUGUCAGGUGCCGACUGUAUACACACAGAUCAUGAAAAUAAAUAAUAUAUUCCUAACUGUGCACUAAAAUAUAAGUGUGAUAGAAAUGACGUGGUCUCUUUUUAAAGAAUAUGCACACUAUAAAGCAAACUACUGGUGGCAUAUGCACACUGUAAAGCAAACCAAACCAACAGGGACGCACUAUUAAGUGUGAUAGAAAUGAUGUGGUCUCAUUUUAAAGAAUAUGCAUAUUGUAAAGCAGAUGUUGCAAUAACAAGACUAACACAGAAUAAUAAUAAAAUAUUAAAUAAACAGUAAUAAUAUUAAACAAAUCAUUUGGAAAAAGAUAAAGUUCUUAUCUUCUUCCAUGUUGGUGGUCGACACCCUCCUUGACGAGUUUUUUCAGCACUGACACUUUCAGUGGGUUUCCCCGGCAAGGUAGCCAGCGCCAGAGGCAUUCGGGUAGAGUGGUGAUGACCGUUCGAGUCCCCCGAUUUCAUUGGUAGUGGUGGCAAGGUUGUGAUACCAUCAGAACAGACGGUCGGAGAUCUGGUCGUGGAGACCAUGCGCCUCGCCGUCUGACCUUGCCUUCCGUCGAGUUGUCAAUGCUCGACCUUCAAAGGUGAGGAUUUGAGCAGCGCCGCUUGACUUCAUGAGCGAGAGAGAGAGAGACGCAUGAGUGCUGCGAGAAUAGUGAAUAGCAGUAGAAAUGAGAAGCUUCUGCUGGUGGUAGAGAGACCGGCUGUCGUAGCAGGAUUGGCGCAGUGUUUGAAAAUGGACUCAACUAUAGUGGUGACCUCAUCUUCCCUAAUGGGUCGGAGAGCCUUGAUCCUCUUGGGAGAGAAGAGCUUCAGAGUGCAGACCUUCCUGACCUUGACGUAGUGGGGUUCAUAGUUAGCCCAGAUAAGAUCCUGACCAUCAUUGCUAAACUUCGCGGCCGAUCUGCUCCGAUGCCGGUCCACCAGCUUCUGGUCAUGCUCCUUAAGCACCUCAUUGGCCAGCUUCGAGCUCGACACCACCACGUUCAACAUGGACCCCGUCCACACCAAUACGAUGAGGUCGUAUUCCUGGGCCUACUCGGCGUAGCAGCGGAACCUCAUGGGCUUAAUGUUGUAGAGGUUGCUGACAAUCGACCAUGCACGUGGGCCGGGCGGGAGCUUGAAUCUGAGCCUUUGGUAGAACUUGUAGGCAAGGGAAAUGAGAAUGAUGAUUGAUGAGAUGGGAAGUAGGAGUCCGCCGGAGAGAGCCAUGUUGGAUUGAUUGAGCCAAUUAAGGUAAGCGUGGGAAGGAUAUUGAUAUAUAUGAAAGACCCUUGGGAUGAAGUUGGUGAAUGGAUUUAUAUUGGGGAGAGAAAGAGAGAGAGAGAGUUGGUCACUAUGUAGGUGUUUAGUUCUUAGGUUUAUAAAGAUUCACAGUAGAGUAUGGUGAGGUUGUGAGGGUUUCAUGGUGGUGAGAUGAAAAAAAUGAAAGAGAACCGAUAUAGUUUUUCGUGUCGUUUCCCACAGAGGGCGCCAAAUGUUGAUGCACAAAAUCUGGCAGAUCUUGGAACAAUGUAAAAUCUGACCGUGAAUCAUACAAACGCAUACGAACACAAAGAUAUAUCGUGGUUCACCUCAAGUUGGGCUACGUCCACACUGAUGUCGAUAAGUGUUGAUGAAGGUUACAAUAUGCAUGGAGGCUAUAGAGGCUUAGUAUUUGCUCUCUGUAUUAUUCUCUGCCUCUCUGUCUGUUUCCUUUUUGUUUCCCUCUUAGUGAAGGUGAGGAGGAUCCCUUUUAUAGAAUAAGGGUUUCCUCCUCUUACAUAAAUCAUGGGCUCAGUCCUGAAGCCAAAAUAUCGAGGCCCAAUAUCUGGUUCAACACAUUUAAACUACUUAGGAGCUUUUUUCGGCUUAGAAUAUGGAUUCAUUUAAAUGGCGGUAGAUAAAAUGCGAAACCCAAACCACCAACCUAAGAAAUGCGGCAGCAGCCGCACCGACCAUCAAAAGAUUAAUAACCGGGAGCGGUCGUGUGAUUUUUGAUAUUGGUGACAUUGCUUUCAAAGGAGAACUGGAUGGUGACGAUGGAGGAGAGAGGCUUGGACUCACGACUUAAUCUUCUAUUUCAGGGGCAUUGAUCUUGAUUUUAAUCUUUUGGCCUGCUUUGUAAUGACCAGGUUCACCGCAAAUAACGUAGUAGGUGUCGGGUAUAUCAAACGUUAAGGCGGUAAAGGUACCGUAAUGAGAGGGGAAAUGGUGGCAGAAGAUCAGGCUUUAAGCCAAGAGGCUACAAGCUUUUCAAACACUUCGUCUCCCAGUAUAAUUCAUGGUGAGAUCAAUCCAAAUUUGCGUCUGUGCUCCGUGUUGCUAAACGAGUUCAAUUACCUACCGUGGUCACAUGCCAUUUCUCUUGCCUUAGGUGGAAGAUCGAAGCUAGGGUAUGUCAAUAGAAGCAUUGAAGCACCUCAACCAACCUCUACAUCGUAUGGUGCAUGGCAUGCAAAUGAUUAACUUGUUAUGUCUUGGAUACUUAAUUCCAUGGAACCUAAGUUAUCUGAGCUCUUCAGCUACUCAAAGUCCUCUCGUAUUUUGUGGGAAUCUAUCAAAGAGAUGUAUGACAGCCAAAAUAAUGCUGUUUGUAUAUUUCAACUGAAGAAGGACCUUGCUGGGCUAAGGCAAGGUGACCAAUCCUUCGUGCAACAUCUUGGAAGUAUGAAGUCCAUGUGGAAUGAACUCGACAUGUACCGACCACAUACAAUCGAUUCCGCUGCGCUCCUUAAAAGAGCUUAUAAAGACAAAGUGUUUCAACUCCUGGCAAGUCUAGGAGCUGAAUAUGAAGACCUUUGAAGUCAUUUAUUGAUGACCCCCAAUCUGCCCUCAUUUAAUAGUGUUUGUUAAGCUAUUCAAAGGGAGGAAACUUGAUGAAAAGUCAUGCACAUUGAGCCUAAGUCUAACUUUGAGGCUAGGGUUUUCAUUGGCAAUCAUAAACACACAGGUGAAAAAAUUUUCCUGGAAAGAAGGCAAAUUGGAAAUGUACUUACUACAACAUGAAAAGGCAUUUAAGGGAAAAAUGUUGGAUCAUGCACCCAGAGUUAAAACCAAGGUUUGAUAAAGAAGGAAGAAUGAUUAAAGAAGGGAAAGGAACCACUCCAAAGGCUCUCCAUUCAACUAGUUCUUUGAUUGGUGGAAUUGCAAACUUCACUGCAAAUCCAAUAGAUUUGAUAAAUGAAUUUGCUAGUUUUCUUCAAAGAAGAGGAGGCACCACUGAAGAUAAGGAAGUGACCACUAAGAACCCUACUGCCAUGCUAGGAAAAUUCGUAGGUUUCUUGACUGAGACCACAACUCAAGGUAAUGUUUCAGGUAUUAUCACUGCCCUCUCCAAUGUACUCAAUGAAAUUACACAUGAUUGUUGGAUUAUAGACUCAGGUGCCACUGAUCAUAUAACAAACAAGUCUUCUUGCUUAGAUAAGUUUCAAAAUAUGCCUAAAUCUACACAUGUGUUUGUAGCAAAUGGGAAAGGAGAACCUAUUCUAGGAAAAGGAAAACUUAAACUGUUAAGUGAUGAGAUCGAGUCAACAACUUUGUAUGUACCCUCAUUUCCUUUCCAACUUUUGUCCAUAUGAAAAAUCACAACCACUCUAGAUUGCCUUGCCAUAUUCUCUCCUCACAAUGUUGUAUUUCAGGAUCGAGUUAUUCGAAAGAAGAUUGGUGAAUGGUUUCUCUCAAAUGGACACUAUUAUCAUUCCAAGAAGUUCAAGCCUGUUAAAAACCUUAUUGCCAGCCUCAGUCUCCUUUAAGAAUACCAACUUUGGCAUCUUUGACUGGCCUUCCCUUAGAACCUGUGAUGACCAAACUCUUUCCUAAUUUUUGUAAACCUCUAAAUGAGUGAGAGAUAUGUCAAGUGUCAAAAGUAACUAGACUUCCUUUUGUUUCUUCCAUGUCUAGAACCAAUAAAUUGUUUAAGGUUGUUCACUCAGAUUUCUGGGGUCCUUCUCAUGUGACUCAUUUGAUGGAUAUAAAUACUAUGUCACUUUUAUUGAUGACUACUCUCGGGUCACUUGGGUUUAUCUCUUAAAGUUCAAGAGUGAAUUUUUUGAUGCUUUCAAAGACUUUCAUAAAUUGAUCACAAACUAAUUCUCAUCUAAGUUAAACUCUUACAAUUGGACAAUGGCAUUGAGUACACAUCCAAUAACAUGUCUAAUUAUUUGAGCAAUCAUGGGAUUUUACAUCAAACUAGCUGUGUUGGUACACCACAACAAAAUGGUGUAGCUAAGAGAAUGAACCGUGACUUAUUAGAGAAAACAAGGUCUCUUAUGUUUCAAAUGCAUGUUCCCAAAAGGUUUUGGUCUCAGGCCCUUCUCACUGCAGCUUACAUCAUCAACAGAUUACCUACUCGUGUUUUAAAAUCAAAAUCACCUGUUGAAGUAAUGAAGGGAAGAAAUAUUGAUAUCUUACACCUCAGAACCUUUGGGUGCACCUGUUAUGUACAUGUUCAAGCUGCACAUCGAGAUAAGCUUGAACCCAGAGCUGUCAAAAUUGUGUUUAUGGGAUAUUCAAGCUCUCAAAAAGGAUAUAAAUACUACAAUCCUCAUAAUGGAAAGACUGGAGUCUUAAGAGAUGUUCGAUUUGAUAAGCAUACUCCAUUUUUUCACAAAGGUUGCAGUGAAGAACCUCAGGGGGAGAGUCCUAUGGAAAUAUUUCCUUUGCCUACCCCAGCACACCUACAUGAAUGCAAUCCUUAAAAUGUUCUUUUCGAAUAUCUCUCAGAGCAACGUGAUGGUGAGGAAAUAGCUCAUGAUCAAGAAAACUCAGUCACUGCACCACAACCUGUCUUGGCUCCAUGAAGAAAUCCUACCCGAGACAGGCAUCCUUCAUUAAGGCUGUAAGAGUACAUUACAUACAAUGCAAGACAUCCUAUCUCUAAAGCUUUAACCUAUCAAAAACUGUCAACACCAUAUGCAACAUUUCUCAAUCAGUUGUCCACUAAUGUUGAACCAAGGAACUUUAAUGAAGCUUCUCACAUUCAAGUAUGGCAGGAAGCAAUAGAAGAAGAGCUCAAAGCACUGAAUGACAACCAAACAUGGAGUGUGGUUGAUCUUCCAAAGGGAAAAAUGGCAGUAGGGAGUAGGUGAAUAUACAAGACAAAGUUCCAUUCAAAUGGCAGUAUUGAAAGACAUAAGGCUCGAUUAGUAGCUUAUGGCUUCACACAAACUUAUGGCAUUGUCUACAAGGAGACAUUUGCUCAUGAAGCCAAAAUGAGCACGGUACGAGUGCUGUUGUUUAUCGCAGUUAAUCACGACUGGUCUCUAUUGCAAAUGGAUGUGAAAAAUGCAUUCCUCCAUGGUGAACUUGAAGAAGAGGUACACAUGAAGCUUCCUCCCGGACAUCCACAAGAGCAUGAAACUAACAAAGUUUGCAAACUUCACAAGGCUAUAUAUGGACUCAAGCAAUCCCCUUGAGCCUGGUACUCGAAGUUAAGCUCAGUUCUUGAAGCUGCAAGGUUCCAGAGGAGUCAUGCUGAUUCUUCAUUGUUUGUUCGUAAUGGUACAAAUGGUAAGGUCAUUGUCCUUAUAUUUGUUGAUGACCUUAUUAUAACGGGUGACAACAUAGAAUAAAUCAAUGCUCUCAAAUCCUCUUUUCAUCAACAAUUUGCUCUUAGGAUUUGGGAAUCUUAAAGUACUUUCUUGGCAUUGAAAUGGCCACAUCAUCCAGAGGAUUGUUCCUAAAUCAAAGAAGAUAUGGACUUGAUCUAUUGGAUGAAGCUCACAUGUUGGAUUGCAAGCUAGCACGCACCCCUCUUGUGAGCAAACUUCAAUUAGAUGUCCAAAGUGAACCAUUGUCAAACCCUAGUGUCUAUCAACGUAUGGUAGGAAAGCUAAUCUACCUCACAAUUAUAUGACCUGACAUUGCUUAUUCAAUAAGCCUUGUUAGCCAAUUUAUGCACUCUCCCACACUGAUUCACUGGGAGAUUGUCAAAAGGAUACUUAGAUACUUGAAGGGGUCAAUUGGAAAAGGCUUGCUUAUGAAGAAACAUGGCUCAAAUCACAUUAUGGCAUACACUGAUGCUGAUUGGGUAGGUAAUGCCCUCGAUCGCAAGUCUACCACUGGUUUCUGUACAAUUGUUGGUGGUAAUCUUGUCACAUGGAAAAGUAAAAAAUAAACGGUGAUUGCGCGAUCAAGUGUUGAGGCCGAGUAUAGAGCCAUGGCAUCAACGACUUGUGAAUUAAUCUGGUUAAAGAGUCUCCUAGCUGACCUUGGCUACAUCGACACAGAAUACAUCGACACAGAACCUAUGUCUCUAUUUUGUGACAACCAAGCUGCCAUACACAUAGCUUUGAACCUAGUUUUUCACAAGAGGACAAAGCAUAUUGAGGUUGAUUGUCAUUACAUCCGUGCCCAAGUGCAAUCCAAAGUCAUCAACACAGUGUACACUCGAAGUUCCGAUCAACUUGCUGACUUGUUCACAAAAGCUCUCGACUCUACUCAUUUCCAAAGAUUGUUGAGCAAUCUUGGAUCAAUUAAUCCUCUUGAUCCAGCUUGAGGGAGUAUUGAAACUGACCGGGUAUGAGCAUGCUAGAGUCUACUUGGGUCUAUGUUGGAAGGUUGCUCAAGGCACAUCACAACUCAUCAAAUUUCAAGUUGCAACUGCAACUCUAGCCCUCAUUCUCGGGUAGAGUUGCAGCUGCUACUAAACCGUCAUUUUUUGUUACUAACUAUCCCUUAAUUCUAGGGUUUAUGUCUUUUAGUAUUUCAGCUCUAGAUUUCUUGUAACUUGCAACUAGGGCUAGCCUUUUUAUCUUUUGGUCUCUUCCUUGCAGCUGUUUUGUAAUUGUUCAAUGGGUUCUUUGCUUGGCUCGGUCUCUCUAUAAGAGCCCUCACUUGUAAUACCAAUACAUGAUGAAAAUAUACAAAUGGUUUUGUUAAACUGAAUUCCAAUAACAAUUAAGCAAGUUUGUCUAUUGUGGAUACAAAGUCAAGCAAACAAGAUCGAGCAAAAUCAUACUUUGUGAUUACAAAGUCAAGGGUCCAUUGUAUAGGCGCUCAUUGUUGUAUAGCCUAGCUUUUAUUACAUGUAGUAGGAUGUAGUUGGGAGCUGCUGCCUUUAUUGUCGUGAAACUCUAGCACUCCUAUAUAAGGAGUUUCUUGUACCGUUUCUACAUAGAAACACAUCAACAUAUUAUUUCUCCAAAACAAAGCUUAAUUAUAAGUUUUCAAAUACCAUUCUCUUCAUGGUAUCAAUAGCCAUGUGUCUAACGACAAACCUCUAACUGAAUUUUUCCCUCUUCUUCUACCUUAAUCUAGUGAGUUUGUGACUGUAAUUUUUUUUUCUCUUCUGCCUUACCAUCUACUCGACUUUUCUUCAGCUUCCAUGGCCGCUUCUUCUCUUCUUACCAGCUCCCUUCCUAAUAUUUCCUAUUUGGUUUCAAUAAAACUUGAUCGAACCAAUUACAUAUUGUGGCUUGCCCAAUUUAAUCCUUUACUUAAAAGUAAUGAUCUUAUUGGCUAUGUUGAUGGUACAAAAACAUGUCCAACAAAGUUUCUUGAGGAUGUUACUACUCUCAAUCCCGAGUACGUGACUUGGCAGCGACAAUACCAACAAAAUAGUACUGCAUGCAUCAGAUACAAAGAUGGAUACGAGAAUUCACUGGCAUCCAUUGACUUUCAAGGAAAAGAAGAAUGAUGGUCCACUGCAGUUCUGUAAGGGAUGCCUGGAACCAGUGCUUGGGCCUCACUACACUUGCGACACGUGUAACAACAUUUACUCGUCCUAUGCCCAUAAGUUCAAUAUACAUAAAUCAUGUGCGGAGGUACCCCGUGAGAUCCACCACCUUACCCACUCCAAACACCCUCUUCUUCUCAAGUAAAACGACCACUACACAUGUGGUGUCUGUCUGUAACUGUAACCAGUCACAUCGAAGAGGAUACAUUCUAUCUCACUAUUGUUCUAAAUGCAACUUCUGUAUAGACCUGAAAUGUGCUUGGCAAAACCACGGUGAGCACAACUUCACCAUCCUUAGGAAGCCCAUUGAAUUCACUUGCGAUGUCUGUGGCCUAGGUGAUGGGUCUGGUUACAAAGACAACUUCUACCUCUGCAACAUUUGCAAGUUCCUUGUCCAUGAGCAAUGCUCUUGGUUACCACUUCGAGUCAAAAUAUCAUGGCACCAACACUGCCUCAAGCUUACCUGGUGGUUCCAAGACAUGUACCCUAAAGACCAAUAUUUCUGUGACAUCUGCUCAACAAACAUGGACGGAAACCGUGCUUUGUAUUGUUGUCAUGAUCAUGAAUGUCGUGAUUAUGCUGCCCACUGUAAAUGCUUAAGAAAAGAGGGGAUAAUCAUGAACGUCCUUGUCGAUGAUAAUGAUGAUGAUGCACCAUCCACAUCCAGAUGUCCCCCUGCUAAUGAGACCACCGCUGAUGAUAAACCCUUGCAGAUCGAGCACUUCAGUCAUCCACACAUGUUAACCCUCAUCGAUAGCCAAGAGGUGGCUAGACAAGACGACCAAGAUGAAGGAAUUACUUGUAACGGUUGCACGCUACCCAUCAUGAGGGGUGAGUCUUAUAGGUCAUGCACAGAACAAGCAAUAGAAAAGCCAUGUAAUUUCUCUCUCCACAUAAAUUGUGCUAAAUUACCCCGAAAGAGGCUUCUCCCACUUCACGAACACGAGCUCACACUCCUUCCAACAGCAUCUUCUGUCGGUGACGUUUUUGAGUGUGACAUGUGCAAGUCCUUGAGCCAAGGUUUCUCAUUCCAUUGUGAAGAUAGCGACUUCAAACUAGACCUCUAUUGCAAUAUUCUUUAUGAGCGUAAGCCUCUCCGUUGUGAUGCUCAUGUUCACACACUCCAGUUCAGCACAGAGCUCGUGUCCUGCAGCAGUUAUGGUACUCGUGAAAGGAUUUCUGCUUCAGAUGUGGCCGUAAGAGAUGCGACUUCCAGCUGUGUAUUCUGUGUGUUAAAUUACCUCUUACGGUUAGGUACAAUUACGACGAUCAUCCUCUCAAACUCACUUAUGCUAGUGUUAAAAAUGAGCUCGAUGAGUACUAUUGUGACAUAUGCGAAGGAAAACGAGAUCCAAAACAUUGGUUCUACUCCUGCCUGGAUUGUGACUUUGAAUGUCAUACUCAUUGCAUUAGAGGGAGGUAUCCGCAAGUCAAGUUAGGGGGCUCUUACAAGCAUCAUGAUCACCAGCACGACGUCGCCCUUGUUUAUAAGAGAAAAGGCAAGAUUCCUAAUGAUAAGAGAGAGCGCUUACUUCCUUGUUCCAAGUGUUCUAUGAUUUGCAAAGGAUUGGUUUGUGAAUGUUUGGUGUGUGGUAUUAAUAUGCACCUAAGGCAUAUAAGAAAGCAAAAGCAUAUAAAAUUUCUAUUUUGAAAUCUUGCUUUUCAUUGUUUGCGAUAGGCCUGGCAAUCGGGUCGUGUCAGUCGUGUUCGUGUCGUUUUCGUGUAACACCUGUUAGCUUAACGGGUCGUGUCGUGUCACACCCGUUAUCUUAACGGGUCCUUAACAGGUCGGGUCACUUUACCCGUUGGGUAAAGUGACCCGACCCGACCCGUUAUGACCCGUUAUGACCCGUUAAGAAAAAUAUUUUUUUUUUCUUAAACUUGCACAUACUACAUAUUGUCACAUAAAUAUUACUUUAAAACAUUAAAACGCAUUUGUUGUUUAAAUACUACAUCAACACUCGAAAAUAAGAGUAAUAAAAAAAAUCCACACAUUACUAAUCUAUUACAAAUAUUAAAUAUGCAAGGAUAUGCAAAAUGAAAGCGUUUUGUUUUCAAGGUUGUGAAGUCUUUUUCAAAAGUUUAAACCUUGUCAAUGGAACUCAAAGCUUGCAUGCUAUUCAUUUUACAAAAUCCUCAAUUUACGUCGAUCAUCAUGAGGAAGUUGCAUUGGAACUUUGGCUUGAUCUAUUGCCUUCUUCAAGAGUUAUGUUGAUAAUGUUUUCAGUAAGAUUUUCCAUGUCAGAACUCUCUUCCGCAUAAACUAAAUAUAGAAAAACCAAACAUUAAAAAUCAUUCAAAUUAUAAGAAAUUUACCAAAAUAAUUAUGAAAAGAAAUAAAACAAUAGUACUAUACCAUAUAAAAAUAUAUUACCUCCUUUUCCAAAUAGCCAAUCUCGUGUGCACAACAAAGCUUGAACUGUUUCUGGUAACAAUGAACUACGAUACUGAUCUAGUACUCUACCCCCAAUACUAAAUGCAGAUUCUGAUGCAACAGUUGAAAUGGGAAUUGUUAACACAUCUCGUGCUAACUGAGAAAGUAUCGGAUAAUGAAAACGCUCCAUUUGCCACCAAGAAAGAACAUCUAUGUCUACUUUUCUAUCUAUUCUUUUAUCCUCCAAAUACUUCUGCAAUUCAGUUUUUUCAAUCGAACUUGAACCAUCGUAAUUAUUAUCAAAAUCCUACAUCAUAAAAAAUCAUGCAUCAUGUUAAUUUCAAAUAUAAUAUCAACACUUUUUAUACUACUACUACAAUCUACAAAUAUAUAAAGUAAAUAAAAAAUAAACUUAGGUUACCUCAAAGAGAACAUCUACAGAUUCUGUUUGAUGAUUAGGCACUGAAUUCCUUGGAGUAUUUGAAUUAUCAAGAUGUGAAAGUUUUUCCAAGUACACACCAAAAAGAACAUUCAAUUUGUCAUUCACACCUUUGUAAAUUCGACCGAAUUCACACCAUGAAGCUUUGUGUAAGCCCAAUCCACAAAAUUCAAUUUAUAACGAGGGUCUAAGAUGAUUGCAAUUGCCAAAAUCAAACUAUACUCUGACCAAUACUUCUCAAACUUCAUGUACAUGUAAGUCGCCAUCUUAUUCAUGAAACUUUCAGAGGCAUCCAUGGCUGCCUUAAUUUGAAGUUGGAUUACGAACACCUUAGGGAAGAACAAAUUUGAUGUAGGGUACUUUGUCCCAGAGAAUAAGCACGUAACCUCAUAAAAGUACUCCAAAAACUUGGAAAUCUUCAUUAUUUUAUCCCACUCUUCAGAAGAAGGACAAGUAUUAAAAUUGGAAUCACUCAACCCUAAAUGAAUCAAAGCAUAUCGAUAGAAAAUUGCAUUAUCUAGCAUAAUGUAGGUUGAGUUCCAUCUAGUAGGGACAUCUUGUCUCAAACCUCUCCUACUAUCCAAUAUCCCCACUUGUCUAACACAUUCAUAAAACUUUAGUUUUCUAGCCUCAGAGCCCUUUAUAUACUUGACGCAUUCACGAAUCUUUAUCACCGAAGAAUCAAUUUCUUUAAGUCCAUCUUGAACUAUCAAAUUCAAGACAUGAGCACAACAACGCACAUGAAAGAAGUCACCAUUCAUCACGAGAAGACUUCUGAGAUUCAAUUGAUUCUUCAAAAUGCUAACAAAAGAAAUAUUUGAAGAAACAUUAUCCAAAGUAAUAGAAAAUAACUUCUUCUCAAUUCCCCACUCAGUCACCAAUGCAUUAAUUUUCUCAGAUAAUGCAACACCAGUAUGAGGAGGAGGCAUGUGACAAAAACUUAAAAAUUCUCUUAUGCAAUUUCCAAUCUUUGUCUACAAAGUGAGCAGUAAGAGCAAGAUACCCAUCAGUGCAUUGCGAGGUCCAUAAGUCUGAUGUCAAACAAAUUCUACCUUCAACCGAGUCUAGCAAAUUAUGAAGCCUUUGUUUUUCAUUUUUGAACAUCCUUAACACACAGGCUUUAAUUGUAUUUCUACACGGUAACUUAAUAUCAGGAGAUAUAUAUGCAAACAAAGCCCUAAUUCCCUCAUAUUCAGAAAAACUAAAAGGAAGAUUAUGCUUGAUGAUGGCCUCUACCAAUAAACCACGAAAUACCACCGGAUCAAAGUUUUGGGAACAGAAUUCAGACACCGACAAUCCAACAGUCUGUCCAGGGCAUGUUUUCAAAUGUCUAUUCAUAUUACCCGUCCCAUGAUGACUAUCAUCUAUUACCAGUUUCUUACAAUCUUUACAUUGAGCACGACUUUUACCAUCUUCAAAAAUAGUAGUCAAUUUGUUGAAAGUUUUCCAAACAGGAGACCUGAGUGUUCGCUUACCUAAUUUGAUCACUCUAGCCUUUUUCUUUGCCGGACUUGUAUUUGUAUCUUCCAUAUUUUCACUUCCAUGAUCAGGUUGUAUUCCCAUUGUCACUUCCACUGAUCCUCCAUCACUAAGGUUCGUAAAAUCUUGCUCUACAACAUCCAUUGCUUCAAGAAAGAAAAACAAAACUAUAAAAUCUUGCUCAUACCAAUUUCAUACCAUAUCUAUUUCAAAUUCACUUAUCCAUUUCAAUUUCAAAUAGAUCAGCACAUAGAUCAACAAAUAGAUCAUCAUUUCAUUUCAAUUUCAAUUUCAAUUUCAAAUUCAUACAUCCAUUUCAAAUUCAUACAUCAACAAAUAAUACUAUUUUGUUUUUGCAUUAAUCCAUAUAAUAUAAGGCAUAACGGAUGCAAAGUUAACCAAAAAAUGAUGAAUAGCUAGCCACUGUGAAAAUGAUGCAAAGUUAACUAUAAGAUAAUGAUUAGGGUUAUCCCCAUCAACUCAACACCUCUCCAUUUCUUUCCAAUAAUUCAUCCAAUUCAGAAACCCUCCUCACCAACCCUUCUAUUUCUAUACAAAAAGAUGAAUUGUUAACCAUUGCGAAAACAUGUGGUUAUCAGAUAACAAUACGGGUGUUGGACAAAGGGCAUGAACUUCAAAGCUUUCCCCAUCAUAGCCUCAUUUAGAUGUGUUUGAUAUAUAUGGUUCUGUCUUUUUAACACACAUUUAGAAACCUUAAUUUCAGAAAAUCGUAAUUCCUGUGAUUAUUAUUUAUAUCAAUUAGCAAAUACCAAAUAGAUCAGCAAAUUCAGCACAACAAACUGAGCAAAGAAAUCAUGAAGCAAAUUAACCUUCUCCAAAAGCCCUAAUUUAGAAACCCUAAUUUCAAAAAUUCAUAAUUCCAAAAGUCCUAAUUCAGAAACCCUUGAGUUCAUUGUAGGAAUUUUUUACCUUGUGCAGUGAGGUGAGGAGUGCGGACUGAGAUCGAGAGCUCGAUUCAGGAGCCGUAUUUGGGUGGUACUGGUAUGGAGUCCGGAGUCUGGAAUCUGGACAGUAUGUGAACCAGUGAAGUCGCGAUUUAGGUGAUGACUGAGGACUGACAGAGUGACUGAGUGAGGGGUGACGGUCUGGGUGAGGUCGAGGACGAUGAGGAGGGUGAUCCGGUGAGGUCACUGAGACUGAGGUGAGGGUGACUCGGUGACGGUGAGGCGCCGCGUGAGGUCGAUCGAGAGAGAGACAGAAAGAAUGAUUUGAGUUUCUGAUUUGAGAAAGAAUAGAAGGAUAGCCUACAAUGGACGGCUGAGAUUAAAUCUCAGCCGAUCCAAUGGUCAUCAAUUUUUAAAAUUUAAUUUAAUAUAUAUAUAUAUAUAUAAUUAUUAUAGUUUUUAGGGGUAUAAAAUUUUGUGGCAUCCAUCUACUAGUGUAAAUAUUUUAAAUUGAAGAUCGAAUUCAUUCAUUGUAUUCAUAUAGGGUCAAGGAGUGUAGUUGUAAAAAAUCAUCAAAAUCGGAGUUAAAAUAACCGUUAAAUCGUGAUUUUUUGUUUAUAACCGUCGAAACGUUUUGUCUUGUUCCUUGAUCUCUGAAUGUUUUUUUUUUGCAAUUUUUGGCGUACUUGAUCUCAAAGUAUAUACAAACAUGUUUGACGGUUGGAUCGUUGAAAUUAGUUUCGUAGAAUAUGUAUCCCAUCAAAACAAUAGAUUCACUAACACUUAAGAGUUUAUUCAUACUUUCAUCAAGUAUAACAUAAGAUUUUGUGGUAUCCACUAGUGUAAAUAUUUUAAAUUGAAGAUCGAAUUCAUUCAUUAUAUUCAUAUAGGGUCAAGGAGUGUAGUUGUAAAAAAUCAUCAAAAUCGGAGUUAAAAUAACCGUUAAAUCGUGAUUUUUUGUUUAUAACCGUCGAAACGUUUUGUCUUGUUCCUUGAUCUCUGAAUGUUUUUUUUUUGCAAUUUUUGGCGUACUUGAUCUCAAAGUAUAUACAAACAUGUUUGACGGUUGGAUUGUUGAAAUUAGUUUCGUAGAAUACGUAUCCCAUCAAAACAAUAGAUUUACUAACACUUAAGAGUUUAUUCAUACUUUCAUCAAGUAUAACAUAAGAUUUUGUGGUAUACACUAGUGUAAAUAUUUUAAAUUGAAGAUCGAAUUCAUUCAUUGUAUUCAUAUAGGGUCAAGGUGUGUAGUUGUAAAAAAUCAUCAAAAUCAGAGUUAAAAUAACCGUUAAAUCGUGAUUUUUUGUUUAUAAUCGUCGAAAAGUUUUGUCUUGUUACAUGAUCUCUGAAUGUUUGUUUUUUUGUAAUUUUUGGCGUAUGAGAUCUCGAAGUAUAUACAAACAUGUUUGACGGUUGGAUCGUUGAAAUUAGUUUCGUAGAAUAUGUAUCCCAUCAAAACAAUAGAUUCACUAACACUUAAGAGUUUAUUCAUACUUUCAUCAAAUAUAACAUAAGAUUUUGCGGUAUCCACUAGUGUAAAUAUUUUAAAUUGAAGAUCAAAUUCAUUCAUUGUAUUCAUAUAGGGUCAAGGAGUGUAGUUGUAAAAAAUCAUCAAAAUCGGAGUUAAAAUAACCGUUAAAUCGUGAUUUUUUGUUUAUAACCGUCAAAACGUUUUGUCUUGUUCCUUGAUCUCUGAAUGUUUUUUUUUUGCAAUUUUUGGCGUACUUGAUCUCAAAGUAUAUACAAACAUGUUUGACGGUUGGAUCGUUGAAAUUAGUUUCGUAUAAUUCGUAUCCCAAGAAGUUCAAUGGUGUGUGUGUUACGUAUAUAUAUAUAUGUUAAGUAGAUUUAAAUCUAUUUAUUUUGUAUGUAUAAUUAUUAUAGUUUUUAGGGGUAUAAAAUUUAAUAUAUAUAUUUAUAUAUAUAAUUAUUAUAGUUAAUAUUUUGGGGGUAUAAUUAUUAUAGUAUAUAAAAUUAUAAUUAUUAUAAUUAUUAUAGCUAAUCAAUAAUAUAUAUUUAUUUGGGGGUAUAAUUAUUAUAGUAUAUAUAUAUUAUUAUAUUAUUAUAGUUAAUCUAAUAUAUAUAUAUAUAUAUAUAAUUAUUAUAGUUCUUAGGGUAUAAAAUUGUUAAAUUAAUAUAUAUAAUUAUUAUAGUAUUUUUUAGGGUUAUAAAAUUAUUAAAUUAAUAUUCUGCUUAUCGUGUAUCGUGUUACUCACGUGUAUACCCGAACCAACCCGUUAUCUUAACAGGUGCUUAUCGGGUUACCCGAUAACGACCCGUUUCGUUAUCGUGUCGACUCGAACACCUGUUAAUUUCGUGUCGUGUCGUGUCGGAUUAUCGGGUCGUGUCAGGAAUUGCCAGGCCUAGUUUGCGAGCAUAUCAGAAUGUGUGUAAGCGUGUGCUCGUGCGCGUGUUUGUGAAUAUGACCACUCUUUAUCAAGGACCAUAAACCACGGCGGAAGAAAACAAACAAUUGUCUAAACAACCUACAUUUGUUUUGCUGUGAUAAGUAAAAAGGACAACAGCAUAUAUUCACAGAGAUGACUGUUAUCAAGCUUAAAGGGAACGACAUCCAUGACUCAGCACGGGAACACAUAAUUACAUAGACUUAAUAAAAUUAAAAUAAAAUCUGUUAACCCUUAAACUCACCUGAUUUUCCUUUGUGGAGUAUAUUUGAGUAUCCUCAGCUAUCAAUUGCGACAAAGUGUCAACACUAACCUUCUGCCAACAUGUGCAUAAGAAGUCAGAGUAAGACAUUAUUCAUUUGCUGUGAGAGAGAGAGAGAGAGAGAGAGAGAGAGAGAGAGAGUUCAGAUGAUACCAUGGAAAACCAUUACAUAGGCCACAUCUCUAGUUCACAUAUCUAAAUUGUGAAUUCAUUGAAUGAUGAAUGAUGUUGUAUAUGAAGCUACAAAUAUACGACAAGCAAUAAUGAUAGAUAAAUUCAUCUAUAUUGGUUUAUUAAAGUUGGUCAAACAUACCUUUUGUUUUGAUCGGGAUUUAGUAGUUUGGUAGUUUCAUUCUAAUUUCCAUAGUUUAUAAUAGUUAACCAACUAAAAGUGCUUUCUUUUGAUUACUAUCUAAUAUAUUUUGGCCAGUUGGCAAUCCUACUAGAUUUACUUAGGCGCACAUCAAAAAUGUGUAUUAUACAUGUACAUAAGAUAUAAUGCUAAAUAUCUUUUUAUAGUUGUCUCAUAUUACAUAAAAAGAGUUAAAGUACUCUCUCUCUCUCUUUGCUUGAAAACUAUGUAUCCAUUUCAUCAUCAUGCAUUUUUUUGGUGAAGCUACUAUGUUUUUGUAAUUUUUUUUUAUAUUGAGGAGGAAUAGAGGCUAAAGUACCUCCAAUUUGUUCAAGAGGCUUUAGCUCAUGCCACAGUUUGCUUCACAUACCUCUAUUGUUAGCUUCCAUACAAUAUGUUGUGUGUUUCGUUGCUGCAAGUUUGUAAUUUUACUUGCUACUUGAUUAUAAAAAUGUAAAACAAAAUCCGUCUGUGAUUACAAAUUUGUAUUCAAGUUUAGACGUUUUUCUAGUGUAAGACAUAUGUUGCAUAGGCAUGUAAAUGGUACAAAUUGUUUCUGGUUUUGGACAAUAAGCUUUUGAGUUUUACUAUCCUUGCAAGAGGACUGUGACUCAAGCGAACAAAUUUAGUGUUUGGGGAAUAGAGUUUGGUUCUCUUUAAUACAUAAUUUAACAAAGGCCUACAAAUUUUCCUUGAAGGAAUAUGCAAAUGUGUUCUCCGCAACUUGGCCUGCAGUUUAUGUGAAGGGGCAUUAAUGUGUGUUAUUUGCUUUUCGUAAAAUGUGUGUUAUCUGCAUUGGUGCAUUUGAGGGUGUGAUUACCUUCCUACCAAAUGCGAUGGCAAGUGCCUUCGCCCAUAAGCGGUAGGUCUCGGGUUCGAGACUUGGGAGUAGCCUCUCCAUAAAUGGGGGUAAGGCUAGCCGACAUUCACCUCUCCCAGACCCUGCGUAAAGCGGGAGCCUUGUGCACUGGGUACGACAUUUUUUUAUUGUGACUAAUACAUUCAAUGCCCGUAACGAAGUGCGAACAGAUUUUCUAGUAUGUUCUAAUGUAUAGAACAAAAUUCAUGUCCUCAGAUUAAUUUUUUGAAAAUAUAUAUUACAGUAAACAGUGAAGCCAUGUCUUGACUAGUAUAUCAAACACGCUCACGGUUUGCAAAGACAGACCGUUUGACCAUUUCAUAUGAUUAUUCAAAUUAGUCACUUUUACUUAACUUGUGCACGUACAAGAUUAUGGUUCGGUUCUUUGCACCAGAAGAAACCAAUGCAAACCAGAGCAGAAAAGCAUGAAAACACAUAAUUACUUUAUGUGCAGAACGUACCCAGAUGUAUUUCUACCAAAAGUAAAAUUCAUAAAUAACUUAGUUGACAUACAAGAUCUACCCCAAUCAAACAAACAGUUGUUCAUGCCAAGCAUUGAAACCUUUUUGUAUGAAUGAUUUGAUUCCAAAUUUCAACCAAAAGUUAUAACUGCACCACCGCGCACGCCACACUGAAAAGGUAUAUACGGCCGGGCAGUGUAGAAAUCUCAUCUCAAUGUGAUAAAACCUUAACAGUUAAUAAGUUCCAAACCAUUUGACAUCAAUAUCUCAUAUUAGAGAAACGCCCUUCUUCCAAAUGAUGGCCAGAUUUGUCAUCUUAUGAUGUCAAUUUUUCUUCUCUUUGAUUUUUUCACAUAAUUUUCUAAUUGUCCCAUAAAAAAUUUGUCUUUAGAUUGUUAGAGUAAUAUUUGAAAAUACGAAAAUAAUACAAGAAUUUCAAUGAUAAUAAUCAUAAUGAAAAUUGUUGAUGCACAAAAUCAGUAGGGACUUUGGUACAACAGAAAAUGUUAAGUUUGUGACAUUCGCUAGAUUGAUCCGGUCGCUAGUGUGGAUAAGUAUGUAAAUGGAUAGAGACAGGGAAGCAAACACAAGAUGUAAGUGGUUCACCUAGAUUGGCUACGUCCACGGAGUAGAAGAGUUCUCAUUAAUUGUGAAGGGUUUACACAAGUACAUAGGUUCAAGCUCUCAUUUAGUGAGUACAAGUGAAUGAUUUAGUACAAAUGACAUUCGGAAAUAUUGUGGGAGAAUGAUCUCCUUUUAUAGAAGAGAGUUUUUAGUUUUGUUUUGACAUUGACACGUGUUGUGUUGUGAUUGGCUUUUGAUGUUGACACAUGUCGCGCUAUGAUUGGCUUCUGAUGUCGACACGUGUCGCGCUGUGAUUGGCCUCUUAGUUGAAAGGAAACUCUUAUGGGUCCUUGAUGGUAUAACGUUGACCAGUGCUCGGUAGUUUCGAGAUUGGUCAAGUAUGGUACAAACAAAAAUAACAACAUAAAUUGUAUACAAGAUUAAUAUAAACAACAGAGAAAGGAAGAAAUGCUGACAAACUUGGAGAUUGAGACUUGCAUGAAUGCAAUGUCCUAAAGACAGAAUUUCGCCCAUACUCGUAGUUCGGUAGGCGUUUGUCUCCCAGAAUUUAACAAUAUAUAAUCCAAAGUUGAAGCACUUUAAAUCUUUGAACCCUGGUGGAAAUAGAGAGGGGAAACCCCGUUUCUCAAGAGUAAGAAUCUAUUUUGUUUUUGUAUGCAUUAGACAGGUGGGAUGCUUGAGUUUAUAGAAUUUGAGCCAUCCAUUUUGAAACAUUUGAUUGUUGAUUAAAGUUCCAAUUAACCGAUGCAACUCAUGAAUUUGAAUUCAAUUAUAACACUUGACUCUUUAUUUUCAUUAAAAAAUUAAAUAAAUAUUAUAAAUUAAUUUCCAACGAACAAUAAGUUUGUUAGUAUUUCUUACUUUCUCUGUUGUUUAUAUUAAUCUUGUAUACAAUUUAAAUUUAUGUUGUAAUUUUCAUUAUGAUUAUUAUCAUUAAAAUUCUUGUAUUAUUUUCAUAUUUUUUUAAUAUUGCUCCAACACUGCAUAGUAUAAUCUCUGUAAAAUAACCUUAUAAAUGAAGUUAAAUAUUUUGUCACAAGAAAAGGAAAAUUCAAUGAUCUAAACCAGAAUUAUUAAAGGUUAACAAAUUAUUAGAAUCUUUUAUUUUUCGUGAAAUGCAAGCUAUCAAAUUAUACAUGACGAGAUAAAGAAAUAAACAUGGCCUAGUCAUCAAGGAUUCUUAGUGUAAUACCCUGAAAAUUUAAAAUACAUGGUUAUGUGGAGUAAAUCGAGAAUAAAUGAUUUAUGGUUAUGAAAAAUUUAAUUAAGAACUUUUAAAGUUUGUUUUCAGAAAUUAUUAUAAUUUACAACGUAAAAUUUAUUGAUAAGUGAAAAGAUCAAAAUGCCCGUAAGGAGAUGUGUUGACUUUUGUUAACCUCGUCGUCGUGACACGUUUGACAUAUAAUUUAGUAUAUUUGAAUAAUGUUCGUUGCCACAAAUUGGGUGCUAAUCGGAAUUUCGACGAAGAAGUUGCGGAUUUUUAAUCUUUUAGGUGAUGGGCAAUAUAGUAAAUUGGGAAAAAAAAAACAGGAGAUUGUUCUAGAAGGGAGGAGACCAUUUUCUUCUUCCGUGGCCGAGGGGGGGGGUUGGAUGAUCGAAGGGAAAAAAAAAGGGAGGGGGUUGUUCUUGUUUCCGUUUUGGGCUCCCCUAAACACAAAUCUUAUACCUCUUUCCUUUAAUCCUCGAUUUUGACCAACCUUACAUCUUAACUCAAGUCCUCGUCGAGCCCAUCACGUUUGUCACCUCGAUUUUGCCAGAAAUCACCAAACAAGGCAGAAGUUCGUAGCUUUGUUUACAGGGAGACUUAUCAGUGUUCCUACAUGGCAGCCCGAGCCGGUUCUUCUUUUGCUUGGGAAGACCCCGAAAUAGAAAGAUCUGAUGCCGCAUCAGAUACACCCCUUGCCGUCUUAAGUCAUGUCUGACUUUGUCAGUGGACAAGGCCAGAAAGGAAGAAAGCAUGCUCGAACAGGUGCAAGUCCUUCUCCCCAUCCAUUGGCUUUUCAAUCGAUUUAAGUAAUUCUAAAUUUAAGAGAGCCUGGAGGUAUGCAUGCCAAUCUUCCUCGUAGAUUAAUAUGAGUUAUAAAGUAAGCUAACUAUUGUAUAUGUGCUUGAAUUCUGACCAUGAGGUUGAAAGCUUGGACGAAUUAACGAGUGGUUAGACAAUUGUAAAAUGGUUGAGAUAAAUAAUUAAUUGGAUAAGGAACCCAAGUUGAAAUUCAAAGAGGAUCCAAAGUUGAAAUUCAUUGCAAACUUGAAUUGAAAGAGAUUAAAUUCAAAGUUCUGUGAAUUAUAGGCCAAUAUCCACCCUAUUUAUAGCAAAAAAAAAAAAAUUCAAAUCCAACGGCAAGUUGAUGUCACUUAACCAUUGGAUUUGAAUUUAAGUUGUAGUUUUUAAAUAAUAAAUUAUGUUUGGCCCUCAGUUAGAGACGGUUUUUUGUGACAAGACUAAAACGAACCCUAUGACCCUUUGGCCCUCGGUUGGAGAUGAAGGUAAAUACAGUCAUGUAUUGUUCAUUAAAAUAUUAAUUUCUUUGAGAACUUUAGCCUUCUGACCAACCUUCGAUAGGAGAUGGUCUUAAAUUCUUAACGUAAAGCCGAUUGUUGUGCUCUAAUAAAAAAAAAAAAGGCUUCGGUUAUGCUUUAAGCACCUUCGCCUUUGCCUUUUGCCUCUUUUUUUUUUUUUUUUUAAAUCACACCUUUGCCUUUUGUUUGCCUUGCCUUCUACUUAAAGCACAUCUGGCCUUUUAUUUUAUUUUUAAUUGCUCGUCAAUACGAACCCAGAAGCAUAAAUUAGAUCCAAAUCAAAUUUGUAACGAAAAAAAAGUUGGAUGAUAACUGAUAAAUUUUUACACGGGCUUGUGUGAAACUCGCACAUGUUGAAAAAGAAAUGCCUGACUUUGGUUUUGUCUUUGGUGAGUUUUAUUUUCUUUAAAUAAGGGUUUGACUCCGGUCAAUAGUAUCGGGUGGAGGGGCCGUGUGUGUAAAUAUGUGUUUUCUUGGGUCAAGUGUGUAAAUAUAUUAGUUUGUUUGAAAUGAAAGGGAUGUCUGGUCGAAUGGGACACGUGGCAUGUGUGUGAUUCGGAUGUGACUGGGGAGAAAUUUUUUAUUAGGAUCGGAAUAUGAAUGGUACAUCACAUGUUUUUAUAUAAGUGGUUAAAAUUUUUUUUGUUAAGUUAUUAAGUUUUUAGCACAUAUAUUACAUCAUUUAUAUAGUGACACGUGGUGUAUCAUCCCGUGUUCCGAUCACACUCACAAAUCUCUUGUAACUAGAGAGAAAUUUUUCAUUUUAACCAGAACACGAGUGGUACACCAUGUGUUUUUAUAUAAGUAGUGAGAAAUUUUAGUUUUUAAAUUAUUAAAUUUUUAACAUAAGUAUUUCACUAUUUAUAUAAUGACACCUAGUAUACCAUCUCGUGUACCGAUCAUAUUGAAAAAUCUCCAGCGAUCGGAUUUGGAUCCCAAUGUAUGACUCAGGUCAGGGCUGCUAUCUUACGGACUUUUUGGGCUUCGGCGGUUCGGCCCACCAAUGACCAACCCGAAUACGAAUCCGAACCAGAACCGUCGUGGGUCAAACCAAGUAAAACGCUUUUUCCGUUGGAAAAUCAUGAAACCUGCAUGUGUGACAUUGCAAUUUUGCCUCCAAGCCGCUCUAGUUCUGCUCCAGAGCAACACACAGUAGAGAGAGAAAGAAGCCAAGAGAGAGAGAGGGGGAGAGGGAUGGCCUCGCCGUCAGGACCCGAAACUCCGUCGCCGAACAUCUACAUACCGCCGGAGUGGUCCGAGGCAGCAGACUGUAUAGCAUACGAUUCAGUCACUUGGCCGCCACCCAUUGCCUUAGUAUGUGGCGCUAAAAACUGCGGAAAAUCCACCUUUUCCCGCCACCUCCUCAACAUUUUUCUCCGGAGGUCAGUCAGCUUCAAGCUCCCUUUCCCCACUUUGUAACCGUUGAUCAAAUUCACGGCUCUGAUGAUUAGUUUUUUGAGUAAAAGUUGAUUUCUUUGUGUUUGUUUUCAUGUUAGCUGAAUUGGGUCACCUUAUUUACCUGGAUUCUCUCUGUUUUGGGAGUGAAUGUGUAUAAAUUUUUCAUCUUUUAACUCGGUUUGUUUUGAAUUUAAAUUUUUACUACUUUUUUGGGUAUGUAGGUUUGUUUUUUACCAUGUUUUUCUGUAAUUUUGUUUCCAGGUAUAAAAAAGUUGGUUACUUGGAUACAGAUGUCGGUCAACCGGAGUUCAGUCCUCCUGGUUUUGUAUCUCUCACUGUAAUAGAUGAAGCCACUCCAGGCAAUUGUUUAUUUUCUGCACUUACUGUGAAUAAUUUGCUUUAGAAUUUGAAAGGAUUGUUAAUCAUGUAUUCAUGUUAGAAUACCGGUUUUGUUUGGUUUGAUUGCUAAUUGAGUUUUCUUUUCUUUUUUGGUUACAAAUAGAUUUGACAAUCCCGCAUCUGAAGACACCGGAGAGGUAUGAACAGUCCUCUGCCUCGUUAUGGUUUUGAACUUGUUAGCAGUAGUAGUUAUAGUGCUUACCGGAAUACACUCAUUAUUAUGUAGUAGAUGACAAAUAUGUAGGGCAUGAAUAUUGUAAUUUGACAUUCCUUCGGAGCAAGGUUACGUAUAUUUUUUUGCUAGUUUCAAGCUGAGAAAAUGGUUUAUCAUAUUUUUUACCAUAAAGAUUUCAAUUUAGCUCAUCAAUGUUGUAGUAGACGUUGAUUCCUUAUAUAGCAUUUGGAAUGGAGUGUUGUUCUCAAUUGAGAAAUUUUGGAACAAUGCAAUUGGUAUGAAAAUUCGGGACUUAGUAAGGGUUCAGUGAAGACAUUAGUUGCUCUAUAAUCAAAGCUGUAUGCAUCGGUUUUGGAUCACACGGUAUAAACAAGACUUGGAGUUAAAAUUAUAAUUACAAAGCUGGAAAUUUUCGGUUCACAGAAUUUGAAAUGGGACUAGUUAACCUGAGUUCAGUCCUCCUCUCCCUCUCUCUCCUGCCAUGCAUGGAUUUUUUUAUACUAGGUCUGAUGUAAUGAAUAAAGGGAAUCUUGGAAUCUGAUGACUUAUAAUUUGUCUCUUUUUCUCAGAUGUCUUUUCUUUGGUGAUGUUUCUUCGAAGACGAAUCCUACAACAUACUUGAAUUCUAUAUAUUUUCUUUAUAUGAUUACUAUAAGAAGGAAUACUGCUUAUCUGACCAGAGUGAUAGACCUACCAAGACUGGAUUGCCUCUUGUUGUGAAUACACCUGGCUGGGUGAAAGGUAUGCUCUUUUACUUGGUCAAUUGCUCCUCUCUUUUAAUUGUGAUUGAACAAAAUCUCCCUAUCUGUAGUUUUGUUUGCUUGUUUGUUUGUUCUUCACUUGGUCAAUUGCCCCCCUCUGGCUUUUUUUCUGUAGAUAUUUUAUGAACUAAAUUUUCGCAGGUUUCAUCCUAGCCAUGUACCGUUUGAGGCAAAGGCCAAGUGGCUAUUUUAUGAAUCUUCUUUUGAUGGUUAUCGCUGUUUGGAUAUGAAUAUUAUAUAUGAUUUCUUCAUUCCUCUUGUGUACUAGGUGUUGGUUAUGAUUUAUUGGUGGAUAUGUUGAAAUAUAUUGCCCCUACCCAUGUUGUUAAAAUAAACAUAUCAGCCAAGAGUAAGAAUCUACCAAGUGGGGCAUUCUGGUUAGAUGAGGAUCAUGAUGCUAUGCUAAAUCUGAUAGAGAUCAAUUCAGCUCGUCAGGACUCUUUCAAUAGAUCGUAAGUCUUAGCGUUUUCAAGAAUAUCUGGAGACUUUUAUUUUGGAUGCAGGUUAUUUGUACAGUUUUUUUAAUUGCUUUUCCUCCCUUCCAGUACAUUUAAUUUCGUUAUUAUUAAUUUUUAAUUCGAGAAUCAUUUAUAUGAUGUAUAAUUCUUCUUUUCUUGAUUAAAAUACUAAGUUGCAAUGGUCACAUUAGUUUCAGACCAAGUGCCAAAUCUCUUUAGUAUGCUCCAUAAAAUAUAUGUAGGAGGUGAUCACUUUUAGUUAAGCUUAGAAGAAUUCAUCUUUUAUACAAGAUUAUUGAAUCAAGUGAUCAAGUGUCGGGAAUUUACAUAAAUUAUUUUUGCUUCAUAAGCAGCAUAUGCUGGUGGAAGAAGACAAGGAGUUAUAUGGAUGUACUGGAUUUUCCCGUGACAUAUUAUCUUUGUUGUGUUGCAGGGUUCUAGUACAAAAGGAUGCACGUCUGUUGCAUGAUGUACGAAUACUGGCUUAUUUCAGGCAGUGCUUUUCAAGUAGCCUAAACAUUACUACAAUCAAAGAACUUGCUAAUGCUCUGGCCUCUCAACCUCCUUAUGAAGUUCCAAUAUCUAGCAUCAAGAUUAGACAUCUCCAUUGUCAGGUCGGUUCUUAGUUCUGACUGUUGAUCGACUCACUGCAAGUUUCGGAAAUUUUAAAAUCUGUGUGUCUUUUACAUGUACGAGUGAAUUUUGCAUUCUAUUCCUGUUUGCUGUGAGGGUCUGUAGAAAAUGUUACGGGAGAGCUUAGUGGUGAUUACUUUUAUACCUCAUAGCUUUUGAUUUUGUGUCAACAACCAAGGGACUUUUAUUACUAUUAAUUGCUAUUAUAAUUUCAAUUAAGGCUUGUAACAGUUUAGUUCUUUUAUACCAGGUCCCAGGUGCUGAGAGCUUCUACAGUUUGAACGCAACCAUUGUUGGCUUGGCAGUUAGCUCUGGAGGAUCAAAAGAUUUACCUUGGUGUGUUGGUCUUGGUAGGUUACUCUGUUUUUCAACAUUUUGUCUAUUAUAUUUUAUCUAUUUUGUAUAGCUUUGCUCGUAAUUUUAUGUUUUCUGGCUCCAAUACGUGUGGAAGUGAGUUUUCAGAAAAAUUAAGAAGACUUAGUUCUAGAACUUGGUUCAGGGUGCCAGGAAACUAGGUUCUUUAGUUUUUUAUGUUUAUGUUAUUAGGGAAAUCCAGAUUUUCAUUGUUGGUGCGAUGCAGAAACAUAUAGAUAGGUUGAAGCAAUCAAUUUGAACUAAGGUUCUUAUUCAUUUCAAUUGAUGCCUUUUUAAAAAAUAAUAGGAAUUGUGAGAGGCAUUGACACAGUCAAAGGCUUGCUAUAUGUGAUAACACCUGUUCCAAGAGGCACUCUGGAGAAGGUCAAUCUUUUCCUGCAAGGUUAUAUCCAAAUUCCUACUGUGUUGUUGCAGGUAACUGAACCCCUCCCAUGUAAUACAUGUUUCAGACCAAUUGUUUGCUUCUUCAUAGUCUCUCACAUGCAUUCAAGUUUGGAUUCUUUGCCCUUUUCCAAAUACAAUAUGAUCUUAGAGAAGGAAUAACAGUUCGGGAAGAAACGUUCUUGUUGCAUGGAUAGUCAAUCAGUCAGUUAACCACUAUUACAGGGGUUGCUAGGUGUAGUGCAUGUGCAUGUGUGUGGUUUCGUUUUCAGAAACUGGAGAUCUUCGAUUGUGAUUGAAAUUUUCUCUAGUACUCUAGUAGCACCAUGUUAGGGAAGUUUAUACAACAGCUAGGAGAAUGUUAUGGGCAUGUCUACAGUAGUAUACACAUAAUCACUCACAUACACUGAACAAAAUAUCAGAAUCUUGUCGUUCGCAGACUACUACUUUAUUGGAAAUCUAUUGGAAGAACUUGAUUCGCCACAUUAAGGCUCGUUUGGAAGUGCUUUAAUUCCCUUCUAACUUCCUUCAGUAAAUGAAAAGAAGAACCUGCAUAUCGGAUCACCUAACAUAUAUUUCUAUCUCAUCCAAUAUUACCAAGUGUUAUUUCUUACUGAAUCUAUUGAAUUUCAGGUGCAGGGCUGCAUAUCGCCUUACAUGUCUGCAAAUGUUCUCUCAACAAGCUAAGCUCGUUCACAGUUGCUUGGGUUUCAAACAACAUCCUUUACAGUCAUUAAGCUAAGUUUUAUCCCACCAUGCGAGAGACUGACAACCAAUAGGUCAGCUUGCAUAUGGAAUUCCAAAUAGACGAUAUUUUUUUAUCGCAUGGAUUUGAUAGUAAAGGAAAUGUGAAAUGGUUAUCUAUGAACUACUGGAUGUGGUGAUUACACAAUUAGCAAAAUUACAUUUUCGUUGAAACUCGUACACAUAUAUCAAAAGUAAUUGUUGUUGCUGUGAGUUGCAGAACUGCAUUUUCAAUAUAUGUUUCAUGGAGUAGUUUGCAUUGUCGAAUCACGCAACAAGUAUUCUGAGAUUGACAGAUACUCCGGUGAUUCGAUUUUUCUGUAGCAAUCGUUAGCAAAUUACUGGGUGAUACAGAAAGACAAUGUAAAUGCCAGGAAUGGGUCAGUUAAAGUGCCAUCAUCAUCUACAUUCUACAUUUCUACAGAAGUAAAUGCAUGGCUGCCUGCCUUGCAUAAUUCCAUUGGCAUGUGCAAGCUUUCCAGAAGAUAAUUCAAUGGGAUCGUGGAGUUGUCUAGAAGCAAGGUUAGAGGCUUUGUUUGGAGUAGAAGCUACAUAAUGUGAUUGCAUGUUUAGCUUUUUCAAUUUCGUCUUUUUUUUUCAUUUCUCGGAGCUAAAGAAAGAUUUGGCGCAAAACUUAACUGGCCACAGUGGUGUUCUGGGAUUCGUAUAGCCAACCACACUUAGUGGGGUAAGGCUUUGGGUGUUGUUUUUGUUGUUGUUCCAUAUUAAUCUUCUUAAUGUCGAAGCUAAGUUGCACCGAUGGUCCCCGUACUUCAUCUAGAUUUCACUUUUGUCACCAUGUUUUUUUUUUCUUACCAUUUCCAUCCUCGUGGCUUUAUUUAGUCCAAUCCUUCCAAGUCAUGCAAAACUCCUCUGAAUCUAGCGUUGUCAAAGAAGACAUGCACUAAAAUGGAUGUUGACGGAUUGGACUAAAAGUGAAACAAACCAAGACUACAAGACAAAAAUGCAAGAAAAAAAAUUACGUGGAGGACAGUGAACCGAGGAAACUAUUAAUGCAAUUGGCCUAAUUUCGAUAAAUGACACAAAACUUUGGUUAUUCCAUGUACGCGGAACACUAUUACGUAGUAUUAUUAUUACAUUUAAAUUAUAACAUGUGAUGGAUUGGACUAAAACCAAAACAAACCAAGACUACAAAUGAUAAAAAAAACUACGUGGAGGAAAGUGAAUCCGGAGAGACUAUUAGUGCAAUUUGGCCUACUUUCGAAAAAUGGCACAAAACUUUGAGUGGUUUUUUCAUGCGCGCAGAGGAAAGUGAAUCCAGAGAGACUAUAAGUGUAAUUUGGCCUACUUUCGAAAAAUGGUACAAAAUUUGUGCAAUUUGGCCUAAUUUUUUUUCAUGUACACGGACCACCGUCAUGUGGUAUUAUUAUUACACUUAAAAUAUAACACGUGAAAUGAUAACACCACGUAACAAUGUUUCUGGUGCAAAUUUGCCUCCAACUCCAAGGCUUAUGAUAGAUAAACUAACCUACGUCCUUAUCACCCCCAAGAUUUCUUCUGGAACACAAAGCUAUAAGUAGAACAAAUCAGCGGAUCAGACUCCUCUCACAAAACGCUGACGUUUAACCCUAAUCCAGUUGGUUGGCAAGUGCAUGAUAGACCGUUAUUUCAGGUACAUGCCAAGCCUAACAACCGCCAUUUUUCUCCAAACCAAAUUUUCUUGCAUGUUUCCAUGUAUAGCCAGCAAAAUUCCACCACCCAAAAUUUAAAACCUUGCUUCGGAAAACCUUGCCCUCUCCUUCUUUUAGACAGUUCACACACCAACACACAGCGAAAGGUCGUGAUCUCGGAACGGUUUCGUGCUCCGCCAAGGUCAUGAUCUUAAGCACUUUUGAGAAGGAAGCACUUUUGACUCCAUUGUCGUGCUCUCUCUCUUGUUUCCGAACGAAUUCAGAUAGAGAGUAGGCCGGCAUUUGUUUGUUUUAUGGUUGUUUUCGUGUUGGAACAGCGAAAAAACCAGUAUGACGAAGCGAUCUUUUACUCGUUAUGUUGAGCAAGAGCUGGGGAGGGUGCCGCAUUUUGUGAUCUACGCUUUGCUCGAAUGGACGCUGAUCAUUCUGCUCUUCGCUGAUGGGUUCCUUGCGUUUGUUGCCAACGAAUUUGCCAAGUUCUUCGAGCUGCAAAUCCCGUGCUGGCUCUGCACCAGAAUCGAUCACAUUCUGGUUCAUAGGGACCAGGGUUUCUAUUACAAUGACUCCAUUUGUGAGGGUCAUAGGAAAGAUGUUUCGCNNNNNNNNNNNNNNNNNNNNNNNNNNNNNNNNNNNNNNNNNNNNNNNNNNNNNNNNNNNNNNNNNNNNNNNNNNNNNNNNNNNNNNNNNNNNNNNNNNNNNNNNNNNNNNNNNNNNNNNNNNNNNNNNNNNNNNNNNNNNNNNNNNNNNNNNNNNNNNNNNNNNNNNNNNNNNNNNNNNNNNNNNNNNNNNNNNNNNNNNNNNNNNNNNNNNNNNNNNNNNNNNNNNNNNNNNNNNNNNNNNNNNNNNNNNNNNNNNNNNNNNNNNNNNNNNNNNNNNNNNNNNNNNNNNNNNNNNNNNNNNNNNNNNNNNNNNNNNNNNNNNNNNNNNNNNNNNNNNNNNNNNNNNNNNNNNNNNNNNNNNNNNNNNNNNNNNNNNNNNNNNNNNNNNNNNNNNNNNNNNNNNNNNNNNNNNNNNNNNNNNNNNNNNNNNNNNNNNNNNNNNNNNNNNNNNNNNNNNNNNNNNNNNNNNNNNNNNNNNNNNNNNNNNNNNNNNNNNNNNGACCAAUAUUUCUGUGACAUCUGCUCAACAAACAUGGACGGAAACCGUGCUUUGUAUUGUUGUCAUGAUCAUGAAUGUCGUGAUUAUGCUGCCCACUGUAAAUGCUUAAGAAAAGAGGGGAUAAUCAUGAACGUCCUUGUCGAUGAUAAUGAUGAUGAUGCACCAUCCACAUCCAGAUGUCCCCCUGCUAAUGAGACCACCGCUGAUGAUAAACCCUUGCAGAUCGAGCACUUCAGUCAUCCACACAUGUUAACCCUCAUCGAUAGCCAAGAGGUGGCUAGACAAGACGACCAAGAUGAAGGAAUUACUUGUAACGGUUGCACGCUACCCAUCAUGAGGGGUGAGUCUUAUAGGUCAUGCACAGAACAAGCAAUAGAAAAGCCAUGUAAUUUCUCUCUCUCCACAUAAAUUGUGCUAAAUUACCCCGAAAGAGGCUUCUCCCACUUCACGAACACGAGCUCACACUCCUUCCAACAGCAUCUUCUGUCGGUGACGUUUUUGAGUGUGACAUGUGCAAGUCCUUGAGCCAAGGUUUCUCAUUCCAUUGUGAAGAUAGCGACUUCAAACUAGACCUCUAUUGCAAUAUUCUUUAUGAGCGUAAGCCUCUCCGUUGUGAUGCUCAUGUUCACACACACUCCAGUUCAGCACAGAGCUCGUGUCCUGCAGCAGUUAUGGUACUCGUGAAAGGAUUUCUGCUUCAGAUGUGGCCGUAAGAGAUGCGACUUCCAGCUGUGUAUUCUGUGUGUUAAAUUACCUCUUUACGGUUAGGUACAAUUACGACGAUCAUCCUCUCAAACUCACUUAUGCUAGUGUUAAAAAAUGAGCUCGAUGAGUACUAUUGUGACAUAUGCGAAGGAAAACGAGAUCCAAAACAUUGGUUCUACUCCUGCCUGGAUUGUGACUUUGAAUGUCAUACUCAUUGCAUUAGAGGGAGGUAUCCGCAAGUCAAGUUAGGGGGCUCUUACAAGCAUCAUGAUCACCAGCACGACGUCGCCCUUGUUUAUAAGAGAAAAGGCAAGAUUCCUAAUGAUAAGAGAGAGCGCUUACUUCCUUGUUCCAAGUGUUCUAUGAUUUGCAAAGGAUUGGUUUGUGAAUGUUUGGUGUGUGGUAUUAAUAUGCACCUAAGGCAUAUAAGAAAGCAAAAGCAUAUAAAAUUUCUAUAUUUUGAAAUCUUGCUUUUCAUUGUUUGCGAUAGGCCUGGCAAUCGGGUCGUGUCAGUCGUGUUCGUGUCGUUUUCGUGUAACACCUGUUAGCUUAACGGGUCGUGUCGUGUCACACCCGUUAUCUUAACGGGUCCUUAACAGGUCGGGUCACUUUACCCGUUGGGUAAAGUGACCCGACCCGACCCGUUAUGACCCGUUAUGACCCGUUAAGAAAAAUAUUUUUUUUUUCUUAAACUUGCACAUACUACAUAUUGUCACAUAAAUAUUACUUUAAAACAUUAAAACGCAUUUGUUGUUUAAAUACUACAUCAACACUCGAAAAUAAGAGUAAUAAAAAAAAUCCACACAUUACUAAUCUAUUACAAAUAUUAAAUAUGCAAGGAUAUGCAAAAUGAAAGCGUUUUUGUUUUCAAGGUUGUGAAGUCUUUUUCAAAAGUUUAAACCUUGUCAAUGGAACUCAAAGCUUGCAUGCUAUUCAUUUUACAAAAUCCUCAAUUUACGUCGAUCAUCAUGAGGAAGUUGCAUUGGAACUUUGGCUUGAUCUAUUGCCUUCUUCAAGAGUUAUGUUUGAUAAUGUUUUCAGUAAGAUUUUCCAUGUCAGAACUCUCUUCCGCAUAAACUAAAUAUAGAAAAACCAAACAUUAAAAAUCAUUCAAAUUAUAAGAAAUUUACCAAAAUAAUUAUGAAAAGAAAUAAAACAAUAGUACUAUACCAUAUAAAAAUAUAUUACCUCCUUUUCCAAAUAGCCAAUCUCGUGUGCACAACAAAGCUUGAACUGUUUCUGGUAACAAUGAACUACGAUACUGAUCUAGUACUCUACCCCCAAUACUAAAUGCAGAUUCUGAUGCAACAGUUGAAAUGGGAAUUGUUAACACAUCUCGUGCUAACUGAGAAAGUAUCGGAUAAUGAAAACGCUCCAUUUGCCACCAAGAAAGAACAUCUAUGUCUACUUUUUCUAUCUAUUCUUUUAUCCUCCAAAUACUUCUGCAAUUCAGUUUUUUCAAUCGAACUUGAACCAUCGUAAUUAUUAUCAAAAUCCUACAUCAUAAAAAAUCAUGCAUCAUGUUAAUUUCAAAUAUAAUAUCAACACUUUUUAUACUACUACUACAAUCUACAAAUAUAUAAAGUAAAUAAAAAUAAACUUAGGUUACCUCAAAGAGAACAUCUACAGAUUCUGUUUGAUGAUUAGGCACUGAAUUCCUUGGAGUAUUUGAAUUAUCAAGAUGUGAAAGUUUUUCCAAGUACACACCAAAAAGAACAUUCAAUUUGUCAUUCACCUUUGUAAAUUCGACCGAAUUCACACCAUGAAGCUUUGUGUAAGCCCAAUCCACAAAAUUCAAUUUAUAACGAGGGUCUAAGAUGAUUGCAAUUGCCAAAAUCAAACUAUACUCUGACCAAUACUUCUCAAACUUCAUGUACAUGUAAGUCGCCAUCUUAUUCAUGAAACUUUCAGAGGCAUCCAUGGCUGCCUUAAUUUGAAGUUGGAUUACGAACACCUUAGGGAAGAACAAAUUUGAUGUAGGGUACUUUGUCCCAGAGAAUAAGCACGUAACCUCAUAAAAGUACUCCAAAAACUUGGAAAUCUUCAUUAUUUUAUCCCACUCUUCAGAAGAAGGACAAGUAUUAAAAUUGGAAUCACUCAACCCUAAAUGAAUCAAAGCAUAUCGAUAGAAAAUUGCAUUAUCUAGCAUAAUGUAGGUUGAGUUCCAUCUAGUAGGGACAUCUUGUCUCAAACCUCUCCUACUAUCCAAUAUCCCCACUUGUCUAACACAUUCAUAAAACUUUAGUUUUCUAGCCUCAGAGCCCUUUAUAUACUUGACGCAUUCACGAAUCUUUAUCACCGAAGAAUCAAUUUCUUUAAGUCCAUCUUGAACUAUCAAAUUCAAGACAUGAGCACAACAACGCACAUGAAAGAAGUCACCAUUCAUCACGAGAAGACUUCUGAGAUUCAAUUGAUUCUUCAAAAUGCUAACAAAAGAAAUAUUUGAAGAAACAUUAUCCAAAGUAAUAGAAAAUAACUUCUUCUCAAUUCCCCACUCAGUCACCAAUGCAUUAAUUUUCUCAGAUAAUGCAACACCAGUAUGAGGAGGAGGCAUGUGACAAAAACUUAAAAUUCUCUUAUGCAAUUUCCAAUCUUUGUCUACAAAGUGAGCAGUAAGAGCAAGAUACCCAUCAGUGCAUUGCGAGGUCCAUAAGUCUGAUGUCAAACAAAUUCUACCUUCAACCGAGUCUAGCAAAUUAUGAAGCCUUUGUUUUUCAUUUUUGAACAUCCUUAACACACAGGCUUUAAUUGUAUUUCUACACGGUAACUUAAUAUCAGGAGAUAUAUAUGCAAACAAAGCCCUAAUUCCCUCAUAUUCAGAAAAACUAAAAGGAAGAUUAUGCUUGAUGAUGGCCUCUACCAAUAAACCACGAAAUACCACCGGAUCAAAGUUUUGGGAACAGAAUUCAGACACCGACAAUCCAACAGUCUGUCCAGGGCAUGUUUUCAAAUGUCUAUUCAUAUUACCCGUCCCAUGAUGACUAUCAUCUAUUACCAGUUUCUUACAAUCUUUACAUUGAGCACGACUUUUACCAUCUUCAAAAAUAGUAGUCAAUUUGUUGAAAGUUUUCCAAACAGGAGACCUGAGUGUUCGCUUACCUAAUUUGAUCACUCUAGCCUUUUUCUUUGCCGGACUUGUAUUUGUAUCUUCCAUAUUUUCACUUCCAUGAUCAGGUUGUAUUCCCAUUGUCACUUCCACUGAUCCUCCAUCACUAAGGUUCGUAAAAUCUUGCUCUACAACAUCCAUUGCUUCAAGAAAGAAAAACAAAACUAUAAAAUCUUGCUCAUACCAAUUUCAUACCAUAUCUCUAUUUCAAAUUCACUUAUCCAUUUCAAUUUCAAAUAGAUCAGCACAUAGAUCAACAAAUAGAUCAUCAUUUCAUUUCAAUUUCAAUUUCAAAUUCAUACAUCCAUUUCAAAUUCAUACAUCAACAAAUAAUACUAUUUUUGUUUUUGCAUUAAUCCAUAUAAUAUAAGGCAUAACGGAUGCAAAGUUAACCAAAAAAUGAUGAAUAGCUAGCCACUGUGAAAAUGAUGCAAAGUUAACUAUAAGAUAAUGAUUAGGGUUAUCCCCAUCAACUCAACACCUCUCCAUUUCUUUCCAAUAAUUCAUCCAAUUCAGAAACCCUCCUCACCAACCCUUCUAUUUCUAUACAAAAAGAUGAAUUGUUAACCAUUGCGAAAACAUGUGGUUAUCAGAUAACAAUACGGGUGUUGGACAAAGGGCAUGAACUUCAAAGCUUUCCCCAUCAUAGCCUCAUUUAGAUGUGUUUGAUAUAUAUGGUUCUGUCUUUUUAACACACAUUUAGAAACCUUAAUUUCAGAAAAUCGUAAUUCCUGUGAUUAUUAUUUAUAUCAAUUAGCAAAUACCAAAUAGAUCAGCAAAUUCAGCACAACAAACUGAGAGCAAAGAAAUCAUGAAGCAAAUUAACCUUCUCCAAAAGCCCUAAUUUAGAAACCCUAAUUUCAAAAAUUCAUAAUUCCAAAAGUCCUAAUUCAGAAACCCUUGAGUUCAUUGUAGGAAUUUUUUACCUUGUGCAGUGAGGUGAGGAGUGCGGACUGAGAUCGAGAGCUCGAUUCAGGAGCCGUAUUUGGGUGGUACUGGUAUGGAGUCCGGAGUCUGGAAUCUGGACAGUAUGUGAACCAGUGAAGUCGCGAUUUAGGUGAUGACUGAGGACUGACAGAGUGACUGAGUGAGGGGUGACGGUCUGGGUGAGGUCGAGGACGAUGAGGAGGGUGAUCCGGUGAGGUCACUGAGACUGAGGUGAGGGUGACUCGGUGACGGUGAGGCGCCGCGUGAGGUCGAUCGAGAGAGAGACAGAAAGAAUGAUUUGAGUUUCUGAUUUGAGAAAGAAUAGAAGGAUAGCCUACAAUGGACGGCUGAGAUUAAAUCUCAGCCGAUCCAAUGGUCAUCAAUUUUUUAAAAUUUAAUUUAAUAUAUAUAUAUAUAUAUAAUUAUUAUAGUUUUUAGGGGUAUAAAAUUUUGUGGCAUCCAUCUACUAGUGUAAAUAUUUUAAAUUGAAGAUCGAAUUCAUUCAUUGUAUUCAUAUAGGGUCAAGGAGUGUAGUUGUAAAAAAUCAUCAAAAUCGGAGUUAAAAAUAACCGUUAAAUCGUGAUUUUUUGUUUAUAACCGUCGAAACGUUUUGUCUUGUUCCUUGAUCUCUGAAUGUUUUUUUUUUGCAAUUUUUGGCGUACUUGAUCUCAAAGUAUAUACAAACAUGUUUUGACGGUUGGAUCGUUGAAAUUAGUUUCGUAGAAUAUGUAUCCCAUCAAAACAAUAGAUUCACUAACACUUAAGAGUUUAUUCAUACUUUCAUCAAGUAUAACAUAAGAUUUUUGUGGUAUCCACUAGUGUAAAUAUUUUAAAUUGAAGAUCGAAUUCAUUCAUUAUAUUCAUAUAGGGUCAAGGAGUGUAGUUGUAAAAAAUCAUCAAAAUCGGAGUUAAAAUAACCGUUAAAUCGUGAUUUUUUUGUUUAUAACCGUCGAAACGUUUUGUCUUGUUCCUUGAUCUCUGAAUGUUUUUUUUUUGCAAUUUUUGGCGUACUUGAUCUCAAAGUAUAUACAAACAUGUUUGACGGUUGGAUUGUUGAAAUUAGUUUCGUAGAAUACGUAUCCCAUCAAAACAAUAGAUUUACUAACACUUAAGAGUUUAUUCAUACUUUCAUCAAGUAUAACAUAAGAUUUUGUGGUAUACACUAGUGUAAAUAUUUUAAAUUGAAGAUCGAAUUCAUUCAUUGUAUUCAUAUAGGGUCAAGGUGUGUAGUUGUAAAAAAUCAUCAAAAUCAGAGUUAAAAUAACCGUUAAAUCGUGAUUUUUUGUUUAUAAUCGUCGAAAAGUUUUGUCUUGUUACAUGAUCUCUGAAUGUUUGUUUUUUGUAAUUUUUGGCGUAUGAGAUCUCGAAGUAUAUACAAACAUGUUUGACGGUUGGAUCGUUGAAAUUAGUUUCGUAGAAUAUGUAUCCCAUCAAAACAAUAGAUUCACUAACACUUAAGAGUUUAUUCAUACUUUCAUCAAAUAUAACAUAAGAUUUUGCGGUAUCCACUAGUGUAAAUAUUUUAAAUUGAAGAUCAAAUUCAUUCAUUGUAUUCAUAUAGGGUCAAGGAGUGUAGUUGUAAAAAAAUCAUCAAAAUCGGAGUUAAAAUAACCGUUAAAUCGUGAUUUUUUUGUUUAUAACCGUCAAAACGUUUUGUCUUGUUCCUUGAUCUCUGAAUGUUUUUUUUUUUGCAAUUUUUGGCGUACUUGAUCUCAAAGUAUAUACAAACAUGUUUGACGGUUGGAUCGUUGAAAUUAGUUUCGUAUAAUUCGUAUCCCAAGAAGUUCAAUGGUGUGUGUGUUACGUAUAUAUAUAUAUGUUAAGUAGAUUUAAAUCUAUUUAUUUUGUAUGUAUAAUUAUUAUAGUUUUUAGGGGUAUAAAAUUUAAUAUAUAUAUAUAAUUAUUAUAGUUAAUAUUUUGGGGGUAUAAUUAUUAUAGUAUAUAUAAAAUUAUAAUUAUUAUAAUUAUUAUAGCUAAUCUAAUAUAUAUAUUUUGGGGGUAUAAUUAUUAUAGUAUAUAUAAUUAUUAUAAUUAUUAUAGUUAAUCUAAUAUAUAUAUAUAUAUAUAUAAUUAUUAUAGUUCUUAGGGUAUAAAAUUGUUAAAUUAAUAUAUAUAAUUAUUAUAGUAUUUUUUAGGGUUAUAAAAUUAUUAAAUUAAUAUUCUGCUUAUCGUGUAUCGUGUUACUCACGUGUAUACCCGAACCAACCCGUUAUCUUAACAGGUGCUUAUCGGGUUACCCGAUAACGACCCGUUUCGUUAUCGUGUCGACUCGAACACCUGUUAAUUUCGUGUCGUGUCGUGUCGGAUUAUCGGGUCGUGUCAGGAAUUGCCAGGCCUAGUUUGCGAGCAUAUCAGAAUGUGUGUAAGCGUGUGCUCGUGCGCGUGUUUGUGAAUAUGACCACUCUUUAUCAAGGACCAUAAACCACGGCGGAAGAAAACAAACAAUUGUCUAAACAACCUACAUUUGUUUUGCUGUGAUAAGUAAAAAGGACAACAGCAUAUAUUCACAGAGAUGACUGUUAUCAAGCUUAAAGGGAACGACAUCCAUGACUCAGCACGGGAACACAUAAUUACAUAGACUUAAUAAAAUUAAAAUAAAAUCUGUUAACCCUUAAACUCACCUGAUUUUCCUUUGUGGAGUAUUUGAGUAUCCUCAGCUAUCAAUUGCGACAAAGUGUCAACACUAACCUUCUGCCAACAUGUGCAUAAGAAGUCAGAGUAAGACAUUAUUCAUUUGCUGUGAGAGAGAGAGAGAGAGAGAGAGAGAGAGAGAGAGUUCAGAUGAUACCAUGGAAAACCAUUACAUAGGCCACAUCUCUAGUUCACAUAUCUAAAUUGUGAAUUCAUUGAAUGAUGAAUGAUGUUGUAUAUGAAGCUACAAAUAUACGACAAGCAAUAAUGAUAGAUAAAUUCAUCUAUAUUGGUUUAUUAAAGUUGGUCAAACAUACCUUUUGUUUUGAUCGGGAUUUAGUUUGGUAGUUUCAUUCUAAUUUCCAUAGUUUAUAAUAGUUAACCAACUAAAAGUGCUUUCUUUUGAUUACUAUCUAAUAUAUUUUGGCCAGUUGGCAAUCCUACUAGAUUUACUUAGGCGCACAUCAAAAAUGUGUAUUAUACAUGUACAUAAGAUAUAAUGCUAAAUAUCUUUUUAUAGUUGUCUCAUAUUACAUAAAAAGAGUUAAAGUACUCUCUCUCUCUUUGCUUGAAAACUAUGUAUCCAUUUCAUCAUGCAUUUUUUGGUGAAGCUACUAUGUUUUUGUAAUUUUUUUUUAUAUUGAGGAGGAAUAGAGGCUAAAGUACCUCCAAUUUGUUCAAGAGGCUUUAGCUCAUGCCACAGUUUGCUUCACAUACCUCUAUUGUUAGCUUCCAUACAAUAUGUUGUGUGUUUCGUUGCUGCAAGUUUGUAAUUUUACUUGCUACUUGAUUAUAAAAAUGUAAAACAAAAUCCGUCUGUGAUUACAAAUUUGUAUUCAAGUUUAGACGUUUUUCUAGUGUAAGACAUAUGUUGCAUAGGCAUGUAAAUGGUACAAAUUGUUUCUGGUUUUGGACAAUAAGCUUUUGAGUUUUACUAUCCUUGCAAGAGGACUGUGACUCAAGCGAACAAAUUUAGUGUUUGGGGAAUAGAGUUUGGUUCUCUUUAAUACAUAAUUUAACAAAGGCCUACAAAUUUUCCUUGAAGGAAUAUGCAAAUGUGUUCUCCGCAACUUGGCCUGCAGUUUAUGUGAAGGGGCAUUAAUGUGUGUUAUUUGCUUUCGUAAAAUGUGUGUUAUCUGCAUUGGUGCAUUUGAGGGUGUGAUUACCUUCCUACCAAAUGCGAUGGCAAGUGCCUUCGCCCAUAAGCGGUAGGUCUCGGGUUCGAGACUUGGGAGUAGCCUCUCCAUAAAUGGGGGUAAGGCUAGCCGACAUUCACCUCUCCCAGACCCUGCGUAAAGCGGGAGCCUUGUGCACUGGGUACGACAUUUUUUUAUUGUGACUAAUACAUUCAAUGCCCGUAACGAAGUGCGAACAGAUUUUCUAGUAUGUUCUAAUGUAUAGAACAAAAUUCAUGUCCUCAGAUUAAUUUUUUGAAAAUAUAUAUUACAGUAAACAGUGAAGCCAUGUCUUGACUAGUAUAUAUCAAACACGCUCACGGUUUGCAAAAGACAGACCGUUUGACCAUUUCAUAUGAUUAUUCAAAUUAGUCACUUUUACUUAACUUGUGCACGUACAAGAUUAUGGUUCGGUUCUUUGCACCAGAAGAAACCAAUGCAAACCAGAGCAGAAAAGCAUGAAAACACAUAAUUACUUUAUGUGCAGAACGUACCCAGAUGUAUUUCUACCAAAAGUAAAAUUCAUAAAUAACUUAGUUGACAUACAAGAUCUACCCCAAUCAAACAAACAGUUGUUCAUGCCAAGCAUUGAAACCUUUUUGUAUGAAUGAUUUGAUUCCAAAUUUCAACCAAAAGUUAUAACUGCACCACCGCGCGCACGCCACACUGAAAAGGUAUAUACGGCCGGGCAGUGUAGAAAAUCUCAUCUCAAUGUGAUAAAACCUUAACAGUUAAUAAGUUCCAAACCAUUUGACAUCAUCAAUAUCUCAUAUUAGAGAAACGCCCUUCUUCCAAAUGAUGGCCAGAUUUGUCAUCUUAUGAUGUCAAUUUUUCUUCUCUUUGAUUUUUUCACAUAAUUUUCUAAUUGUCCCAUAAAAAAUUUGUCUUUAGAUUGUUAGAGUAAUAUUUGAAAAUACGAAAAUAAUACAAGAAUUUCAAUGAUAAUAAUCAUAAUGAAAAUUGUUGAUGCACAAAAUCAGUAGGGACUUUGGUACAACAGAAAAUGUUAAGUUUGUGACAUUCGCUAGAUUGAUCCGGUCGCUAGUGUGGAUAAGUAUGUAAAUGGAUAGAGACAGGGAAGCAAACACAAGAUGUAAGUGGUUCACCUAGAUUGGCUACGUCCACGGAGUAGAAGAGUUCUCAUUAAUUGUGAAGGGUUUACACAAGUACAUAGGUUCAAGCUCUCAUUUAGUGAGUACAAGUGAAUGAUUUAGUACAAAUGACAUUCGGAAAUAUUGUGGGAGAAUGAUCUCCUUUUAUAGAAGAGAGUUUUUAGUUUUGUUUUGACAUUGACACGUGUUGUGUUGUGAUUGGCUUUUGAUGUUGACACAUGUCGCGCUAUGAUUGGCUUCUUGAUGUCGACACGUGUCGCGCUGUGAUUGGCCUCUUAGUUGAAAGGAAAACUCUUAUGGGUCCUUGAUGGUAUAAACGUUGACCAGUGCUCGGUAGUUUCGAGAUUGGUCAAGUAUGGUACAAACAAAAAUAACAACAUAAAUUGUAUACAAGAUUAAUAUAAACAACAGAGAAAGGAAGAAAUGCUGACAAACUUGGAGAUUGAGACUUGCAUGAAUGCAAUGUCCUAAAGACAGAAUUUCGCCCAUACUCGUAGUUCGGUAGGCGUUUGUCUCCCAGAAUUUAACAAUAUAUAAUCCAAAGUUGAAGCACUUUAAAAUCUUUGAACCCUGGUGGAAAUAGAGAGGGGAAACCCCCCGUUUCUCAAGAGUAAGAAUCUAUUUUGUUUUUGUAUGCAUUAGACAGGUGGGAUGCUUGAGUUUAUAGAAUUUGAGCCAUCCAUUUUGAAACAUUUGAUUGUUGAUUAAAGUUCCAAUUAACCGAUGCAACUCAUGAAUUUGAAUUCAAUUAUAACACUUGACUCUUUAUUUUCAUUAAAAAAUUAAAUAAAUAUUAUAAAUUAAUUUCCAACGAACAAUAAGUUUGUUAGUAUUUCUUACUUUCUCUGUUGUUUAUAUUAAUCUUGUAUACAAUUUAAAUUUAUGUUGUAAUUUUCAUUAUGAUUAUUAUCAUUAAAAUUCUUGUAUUAUUUUCAUAUUUUUUUAAUAUUGCUCCAACACUGCAUAGUAUAAUCUCUGUAAAAUAACCUUAUAAAUGAAGUUAAAUAUUUUGUCACAAGAAAAGGAAAAUUCAAUGAUCUAAACCAGAAUUAUUAAAGGUUAACAAAUUAUUAGAAUCUUUUAUUUUUCGUGAAAUGCAAGCUAUCAAAUUAUACAUGACGAGAUAAAGAAAUAAACAUGGCCUAGUCAUCAAGGAUUCUUAGUGUAAUACCCUGAAAAUUUAAAAUACAUGGUUAUGUGGAGUAAAUCGAGAAUAAAUGAUUUAUGGUUAUGAAAAAUUUAAUUAAGAACUUUUAAAGUUUGUUUUCAGAAAUUAUUAUAAUUUACAACGUAAAAUUUAUUGAUAAGUGAAAAGAUCAAAAUGCCCGUAAGGAGAUGUGUCCUUUCGUCGUCGCACGACAUAUAAUUUGUAUAUUGAAUAAUGUUCGUUGGGCUUAAUCGGAACGACGAAGAAGUGCGGAUUUUUUAUCUUUUAGGUGAUGGGCAAUAUAAGUAAAUUGGGAAAAAAAAACAGGAGAUUGUUCUAGAAGGGAGGAGACCAUUUUCUUCUUCCGUGGCCGGGGGGGGGUUGGAUGAUCGAAGGAAAAAAAAGGGAGGGGUUGUUCUUGUUUCCGUUUUGGCUCUCCCCUAAACACAAAUUUUAUAACCUUUCUGUUUCUCUUAAUUAAUCUCCGAUUUUUGACAACUUAACUUCUUCUCAAGUCCUCGUCGAGCCCUACGUUUGUAACCCACCAAUCCGAUUUUGCCAGAAAUCACCAAACAAGGCAGAAGUUGUAGCUUUGUUUACAGGGACUGACUAAUCAGUGUCUCCUACAACUGUGCCGCCGCCUUUUUUCUAAAAUCUUUCAAAUGGGUGCUUGGAAAAGAUAACCCAAAACUAUAGAAGAAUCUGCAUGCCACAUGAGUAUAACACUUAUUGCCGUCUAAGUUAAUGUCUCCAUUUGCAGUUGGCAAGGAAUCCAGAGAAGGUAAAAUUGCAAUGAGCAUCAAAAAAUUCAGGUGCAAAUCUAAAGUUCCUGUCUUAGGCUUUGUUUUAUGAAUCGAUUUAAGUAUUUUAAAUAAUAAGAUGCGUGACAAAGUAAUUGCAACCAAUCCUUGACCCUUUCCUCAAUAGAUUAAGUAUGAUUAUUAUAUUAUUAUUAGCUUAACCUUCUAAACCUUUUAUGUAACUCUCGUAAAGCUUUUGAUUGUUGCUCUAAUAAAAAAAAAAGAGUUGAAAGUCUGAACGAUUUAACCUUUGUCUUUUUUUUUUUUAAAUUAAAAAAAGUUUGAUUGCCUAAAUAAUUUGGAGAAGGAUACUAAAUGUUUUUAAAUUAAAUUAUUUAUUUUUAUUGCAAAAAAAAAAAAAGAACAAAUUCAAAGUUCCAUAACUAUAAAUCCAAAUUUAUGGCAAAAAACUAAGUUGUAAUUCAAAAUAAAUGAAUUUGAUAUUGGUUUUUAAGUUUCUUUUAAAUAAUGAAAUACAAACCCUAUCGACUGAUACGGGCGAAAUUUUUUGUGACGGUAACCAAGUCUUGUGGUGAUGUUUAAAACUUAUUUCAGACCAAACUUUCCUCUAGGCCAAUGAAAAAGAAAUAUUGCUUUUCAACAAAAAAAAACCCGUUUUUUAAGAAAAAAAUUCUUUGGGCAUUUGAGUUUUUUUUUUCAAAUUUUAAAAUCAAUUUCACAACAUUCUGGGUUUAAGCCUUUUCGAAAAGAAAGGUAUGACCAGAUUAAACAUUCAAACUUGCAUUUGAAAAAGAAAAUGAAUCUGACUGGUGAAACUUUCUCUCCCCAUCUUUUUCCUCUUUAAACGUCUCCUUUUUCUCCGAACAUGUUGCUUCCACCCCACAUAUUUGCAUUGCUUUGGUUUCCCAUCACCCACUUUUAACCUCUCCAAACUAUCUACUUCGUCCCACACAAGCACACUCCCCCACCACGAACAUUCCUUCUACUUUUCAAGGUCAUAGUUUAAUGAUGGCCCACGAGUUAAAACUUUUAGCCGUACAUAUGGCCACGGAAACCAACCGCGAGUCAAGCUUGGUUCGAUUUUCCCCCGCCCCUUUUCUGUGGAAAAACGAAACAACGGCAACGAAAAGCAUAAGACUUGGUAUUGAGGAAGUUAAGAAGAUUUGAAAAUUGUGCAUAAAACCGGCCAAAACCCAAUUCCGGCAAGUUUUUCGGAACUCCGGCGAGCCUUUCUGGCCAAACGGCAAACAACCGAGGCUCGAGACCACCACCAUUGGACUCGCCUCGAGUUUGAGAGCAAAGCCCAGUAUUCCAAUCGAAGGUCAAUGCACGCACGAUGGCGAACGGUGAAGAAUUCCGACGAAUUCUGCAGGAACUGGUGAGUUUUAUGCAACUGAGCUCGACUAGGCGGUUCAGUUGCCCGCUUGACGAGGCUUACGACUCCGGCGUCGAGGCAUAUUGGUAUCUCCGAAUCCUCCCUACGAACUUUUUCUCCUUUCUCUUUGUAAUUGAACUUUUAAAUAAUAUUUCUUCAUGUUGUAUUCUUGAUUCGUAUGAUUCUUAUUUUUUUAAUAUUUUAAAAACAUAUUUUAUUUAUUAUUAAUUUAUCGAUGCAAGUUUGCAUCCAUGUAGAUUUUAGUUGUUAUCAUAUUAGUUGGUAAUAUCUACUGAAUUAAGUAGUACUUCAUGCAUUAGAUAAAGAGAUGGAUCCGAGAAUUCACGAACAUUCAUUGACUUUCAAGGAAGAGAAGGAGAAUGAUGGUCCACCGCAGUUCUGUAAGGGUGCGUUUGGUACGUGGGAUGGGACGGAACAGAGUGGGACGGAACCGUUCCGUCCCACGUUUGGUGCCUUAAAAUUGUGUGGAACACGCGUCCCACGGAACGAAAAAGGGUCAGAUUUUGGUUCCCCCUCCCCCCCCUGGAACAGGUUUUUCCAUCCCGUGGGACACAAUUUUUUUUUUUUUGGACAACAAUACCCUUUUAUUUUUUUUCAUUAAUUACAUUGUCUACCUCCCUUCUCUCCCGUAACCUCCCUCUGUUCUACCACAAAUCCAGUAACCCAAUCCCUUCUUUCCCGUAACCUCCCUCUUCAUCCACCACAAACCCAGUAACCCAAUCCCAGCAAACCCAUCCGACGACGACGACGUCACCACCGUCACCAGCAAACCCCUCUUCUUCUCCGGCGUCGUCACCCGUCACCAGCAAACCCUCUUCUUCUCCGGCGCCGUCACCAUGGAGCCGUCACCAGCAACCCCUCUUCUUCUCCGGCGCCGUCACCAUAGCCAGGCCGACGACGACGACGACGAUGCACGAAGGAUGAUGACGACGCUGCAGGGAAGACGCUGCAGGCCGCGACGACGACGACGACGGACGGAUGACGACGCUGCAGGGAAGACGAUGACGACGCUGCAGGGAAGACGAUGACGAUGCUGCAGGGAGGACGAUGACGAAGCUGCAGAAAUUGAUUGAAAUGAAUUUUGGGAUUUUUCUGUGUUUGAUUUUGGGAUUUUUCUGUUUUUUUCUUCUUGUAAUUGUUUGCUGGUGACGAGAUCUGAAAUUGAUUGGAGGGUUUGCUGGUGACGAGAUCUGAAACUGGAUUGGUUGCCGAGAAAACGAAGGAAAACGAAAACUGGGGUCUGAUUGUUUGAGUUCAUACUCGCACUCAGCAAUUGUACAAACAAGGCUAAGUUAGUCAUUUAACACGAAAUCCAAACCGUUCCGUCCUACGCGUACCAAACAUAACACGAACCUCCGUUUCGUUCCGUCCCGUUCCGUCCCGUCCCGUUCCGUUCCGUCUGCGUACCAAACGCACCCUAAGGGAUGCCUGGAACCAUUGUUUGGGCCUCACUAUACUUGCGACACGUGCGAUAAGUGGUCCACUGGCUACAAGUUCAAUAUACAUAAAUCAUGUGCGGAGUUGCCCAUUGAGAUCCGCCACCCGAUCCACCCCAAUCACCCUCUUAUUCUCGAGGAAAACUACGGCUACACAUGUGGUGUCUGUAACUGUGACCAGUCACGUCGAAGUGCAUACAUUCUAUCUUACUGUUGUUCUGAAUGCGACUUCUCUAUACACGUCAAAUGUGCUUCCAAUUGGCAAAACGUCGGUCAUGAGCACAACUUCACCAUCCUCAUGCAGCCCAUUCAAUUCACUUGCGGUGUCUGUGGCCUAGUUGGUGAGUAUGACAAACAAAACUUCUACCUCUGCAACAUCUGCCAGCUCCUUGUCCAUGCCAAAUGCUCUUGGUUACCACUCCAAGUCAAAAUAGAACGGCACCAACAUCGCCUCAAGCUUACCUGGUGGUUCCAUGACAUGUACCCCAAAGACCAAGAUUUCUGUGACAUUUGCUCAGAAAAAAUGGACGGAAACCGUGCUAUUUAUUGUUGUCAUGAUCAUGAAUGUCGUGGUUAUACUGCCCACUGUAAAUGCAUAAGAAAAGAGGGGAAAUUCAAGAACAUCCUCGUCAAUGAUGAUGAUGAUGAUGAACCAUCCACAUCUAGACGUCCCCCAACCGAUGAGACCACCGCUGAUGAUAAACCCUUGCAGAUCGAGCACUUCAGUCAUCCACACAUGUUAACCCUCAUCGAUGGCCAAGAGGUGGCUAGACAAGACGGCCAAGAUGAAGGAAUUACUUGUAACGGUUGCACGCUACCCAUCAUGAGGGGUGAGUCUUAUAGGUCAUGCACAGAACAAGCAAUAGAAAAGCCAUGUAAUUUCUCUCUCCACAUAAAUUGUGCUAAAUUACCCCGAAAGAGGCUUCUCCCACUUCACGAACACGAGCUCACACUCCUUCCAACAGCAUCUUCUGUCGGUGGCGUUUUUGAGUGUGACAUGUGCGCGUCCUUGAGCCAAGGUUUCUCAUACCAUUGUCAAAGGUGCGACUACUACCUCGACAUUUAUUGCAGUAUUGUUUAUGAGCGUAGGACUCUCCGUUGUGAUGCUCAUGUUCACACCCUCCGGUUCAGCACAAAGCUCGUGUCCUGCAGAAGUUGUGGUACUCGUGAUAAGAAUUUCUGCUUCAGAUGUGGCAGUGAGAGAUGCGACUUCCAUCUGUGUAUUUCGUGUGUUAAAUUACCUCUUACAGUCAGGUACAAUUACGACGAUCAUCCUCUCAAACUCACUUAUGCUAGUGUUAAAAAUGACCUCGAUGAGUACUAUUGUGACAUAUGCGAAGGAAUACGAGAUCCAGAACAUUGGUUCUACUCCUGCCCGGAUUGUGACUUUGAAUGUCAUCCUGAUUGCAUUAGAGGGACGUAUCCGCAAGUCAAGUUAGGGGGCUCUUACAAGCAUCGUGAUCACCAGCACAACGUCGCCCUUGUUUAUAAGAGAAAAAGCGAGAUUCCUAAUGAUAAGAGAGAGCGCUUACUUCCUUGUUCCAACUCCAAGUGUCGUAUGAUGUGCCAAGGAUUGGUUUGUGAAUGUUUGGAGUGUGGUAUUAAUAUGCACCUAGGGCACCACUUGUGGGGCUCUCCGAUUCUCGACUAGAAUGUUUAGCCAUUAAGAGUUGCAACUCUACAAAGAGUGUUUCAUUCUCAAAUACUUUUGUUUUGUAUUAUGUAUUGGUUCAAUUUGUUUGAGUGUUACUAUAAGUUUGUAAACUUAUCAACUAAAUUAUUUGAUGUUAAUCUGCAAGCUCAUCAAUGCAAACAACUCUGUAUCGAACAACUUUUCUUCGUUUUCGAACUAUGGCAUCCAACUUGGUACAAGCGAGAGAUGCGUGCAAGUGUGCCCCUGAAGCGUGCUCGAACGAAAUAGAAGAGAGAUGAAUAAACUGGUUUUAAUCGUUAUAGUGAUAGAGAGAAAGCGUACAAAUCUUUAAAAUAGAAAAUGAAAUACAGGAUUCUAACAGAAGCGCUAGUAAAUUCAAACAAGUAGGACUUAAAAUGAGAAGGAAAUAUGGGAGAAGGCAACGUCAAGCCAUCUCAGGUUUGAUAAUUUCCAGAGUGCGAGUGAGGUAAACUGGACCUUUUGUCUUGACCAGCUCUGCGAGGCUGCGCCAGCGCUGGAAAUUUAUACGCAAUGACAGUUUAGCAGUCAUACAAGGGCACGCGCACAGAGCCUUGUCGACUGAAAUGGAAAUUGGCGCCCUUCAAUAAAGGGCACCAAUAUUCCUAGGACUAGUUAUGCUACUUGUAUCCCAAUUCGCAAGCUUAAACACAAAUGAAAUUGCUUUCGCCCUAAACAGGCCUAAUUUUCAUUUAUGUCCCAAACAGUAAAUCCCAACGCUAUGGUGCCAACAACCGUGGACAAGGUCAAGGCCAAGGAUGAAAUAAUAAAGUGCGUGCUCCAUAUCAAUAGAAAUGAGAUGCAUUUGGUCAAGUAGUGAAUUGACAUGAAAAAGUGCUUCUAAUUUUUAGAUGUGAAUCAUGUGAUAGUUCAAGUAAGAAGUAACUUUGUUCAUAUCAAUCUGAGACGCAUGUUCAGUUGCCUAACUUGGCUUGUUAACGAAUGACUUAAAUUAAACAUAACACAGUAAACAAACAAUACUGAGUACACCCUAUUCGUUGACUAAGCAUCAACAUUCGAGUCUUUGACAUAUCAUGUUUAACUCCUCUGCACACACAGAGUAUAACAUCAUCACCUAAAAUAUGAACCAGAAAGCAAAAGCAUAUAAAAUUUCUAUUUUGAAAAUCUUGCUUUUCAUUGUUUGCCAGCAUAUCAGAAUGUGUGUAAGCGUGUGCUUGCACGUGUGUUUGUGAAUAUGACCACUCUUUAUCAAGGACCAUAAAGCACGGAGGAAGAAAACAAACAAUUGUUUAAACAACCUUCAUUUUUUGCUGUGAUAAGUAAAAAGGACAACAGCAUAUAUUCACAGAGAUGACUGUUAUCAAGCUUAAAGGGAACGACAUCCAUGACUCAGCACGGGAACAUAUAAUUACAUAGACUUAAUAAAAUUAAAAUAGAAUCUGUUAACCCUUAAACUCACCUGAUUUUCCUCUGUGGAGUAUUUGAGUAUCCUCAGCUAUCAAUUGCGACAAAGUGUCAACAUUAACCUUCUGCCAACAUGUGCAUAAGAAGUCAGAGUAAGACGUUAUUCAUUUUCUGUGAGAGAGAGAAAGAGAGAGAGUUCAGCUGAUACCAUGGAAAACCAUUACAAAGGCCACAUCUCUAGUUCACAUGUUCAACGAACGUGCAACAAAAUCCAUUCAAAACCUAUAAUACAUCAUCACAAAGGACAUAUCUUUAUUCAAGACUUUGGGUCUACAGGUCUAUCUCCAGCUAUAAGUUUUCAGUUUUCGUUCUUUUGAGCAGCUAGCCUACAUCAAAGCACUAGUUCCUUUUCAGGCAAAAUAGGAAUAUACGCGGAAAAAUUAAGGCAUUUCGUCUGAUUUCAAAACAUGAAUAUGGUCAGAGGUAUUCUUUUUACUGCCAACAGAAAGCAUGUCUCUGGCUAGUAACAGAAGCAAAAAGCAUGGAACAAGCAAACAUUGUUAUUGGAACCUGACAAUCAAAAUCAUCCGCUAGCAAAGAAGGAACUCAGAAAUUAUAGAAAUGCAGAGCACAUAAUCAAGGCAGUAUAAGGAAUGAUAGGUGAAAUGAUAGGUGAACCAACCAAGGAGUUGAGCAAAGAAGGUGUGCAACCGUCACAGCAGCAGAGCUGAACUCAUUUGCACUCAACGUCAGCUUCAGCAGCUCGGUGAGGCUUAUUUUUCUGCCUACUCCCAUAUUGUCGGAAUCCAACAGACUUUUUUUGGGUUAUCAAGACUUGAUUUUGUUUCAAUCAUUUUAUCCUCUUUGACUGAUUUUAUAGUUUCUUUGACCUGAGCCGACCUCUUCCUUUUCCUUCCAUUCUCUAUGGCACAUUGGUCUUUCAUGUCUUUGCUCAAAACAUGACCUUUUGCAUCAUCGCCAUCUUCUGUCUUCAAAGCCACUUAUCCUUCUCCAAUAUCGUCCUUCAAUGUCUUUUGUGGCCUUCCUCUUCUCCUGCUUGGUAGAAUCCCUUCCUCUUCACUUCCGGUAUCCUCACGAGCAGCAAUAACGUUUUGUUUCUUUGCUUUUCCUCUACCUCUUCCCAUAGUAAAAAACCCCCGUGAAGAAAUUUCCCAACUAAAGGAAUUUUCGCAAACACAAACCAAUUAUUUCCAAAAACUACACUGUGUAGCUGAAUGAACUCCACCUAUCAACUUGCAAAGUUUGUUUGACAGAAUACAAAUGUAAGCUAUCUGCAAGCAGAAGACGACUGAAUCAAAUCCAUAUCAGCCGCCAAUGAUAAGGUUAAUUCCUAUCUCUCUUUUCUUUCUCUUGAAUUCAAUUAAGAAGAAAGAAAAUGUAGGUUCAAACCCUUGAUCUCGAUAAUUCCAAAUAUCCAAAACCAAAAGCGCAUCUUAAUCCUGCCAAGAUAUUCAAAUAUCAAACGAUUGUACUGGCUCAGUUUAAUCAUGUUAGUAUAGAGAAGUCGAAAGGGAAAUGAACGGAAAUACUUAAACAGUAACUAAGUACCACGAAACAGGUAAACCCGUUGUAAAAUUCAACCCGAACAACUUAUUUACUAGUAACUGCAGAUCAACAAGAAAGACCGAUCCUUUUUGGAUAAAAAACCAACAGCAAGGCAAACCAUUCUGGCUUCACUUUUAUAAAUCCAAAUCCUAAUCCCAACUUUGGCUGCUGCAAGAAAGAAUCCAUAGAUUUGAACCUUAAGACUAUGCUUUGAGUUUCAGAUUAUGAUGAACUAACUCCGCCCACUUCCAAAAUUCUCAGGUCCAAAACAAUUAGAAAUCCACGAUGACAAAAGCAAAUUAUUUUCUUUUCUCUACCACUUAUUUUCAUAUAACAAAACAAAAGCAUUCAUAUGAGAGAAUCAAUAUAUGUGCAACAUGGAGAAGAAAGAAGAAGGAAGGGCUGCUGACCUGAAAGCAAAUAUCCACUUCCUGCAUCUCAUUCAUAAAACCCAUUUCUCGGAUUCUGAUUAGACCAAUCAAGAAACCAACAAAAACCCAUCAACCCAGAAUAGCCUUGUUUUUUCUAUCACUGGUGAUGAAGUUAGCAGAACCCAAAUGAAAUUGAAAACUAUGACGUGAAUAAACAAGUAACGAAGACCCAGAUCAGAAAAAGAUGUGCUUAGAGAGAAAGGUUAGCAGAAAUAAUGGAGGCUGAAGAGAUUAAUCAAAAGCAAUAAGAUUUUGAGAGCUUUUAAAGGGAGGAAGAAGGCAGAGGGAAAUAACUUGAAUAGAGAAAAGGGAAGAGAAAGUAGUGAGAGUUUGGUUUUGUCGUGCUCUUCUUAGUUCCUGGUCCAAGUGUCUUUACCAAGGGUUUCUUGCUUUAGUACCAAAACAACACCACAACCCAAACACGAAUCAUCAAUUUCAAAAGAACCAGAUGAGCAAAAAGUGAGAAAAACUCAAGCUCAUCUUAACAAAAAUCAAAUGGAUAUUAUAUGUAAUCUGAAUAAUCUCUUCAUAUAUGUAAGUUGAACCACAGUGUAUGUUGAAAACAACUAAAACUAAUGAAAGUACGAAUUCAUAUACAAUCAAUCCGAAUAAAAUAAAGAAUACAUUUAAACUACUUGGGAGCUCUUCUCGGCUUGGAACAUCGAUUCAUUUAAACGGCGGUAGAUAAAAUGCGAAACCCAAGCCACCAACACAAGAAGCGCGGUAGCAGCCCCACCGACAAUCACAAGAUUAAGAACCGGGAGCGGUCGUGUGAUUUUUGAGCUUAGUGACAUUGCCUUCGAAGAACCUGCUGGUGAGGAUGGAGAAGGAGAGGGGCUUGGACUAAUGACUGGAUCUUCUAUUUCGAGGGCAUUGAUCUUGAUUUUAAUCUUUUGGCCGGCUUUGCAGUGACCAGGUUCACCACAAAUAACGUAGUAGGUGCCGGGUAUAUCAAAAGUUAAGGCGGUAAAGGUACCGUAAUGAGAUAGGGGAAGUGAUGGAAUGCAAUAGUCAUAAUCUGAUUGAGUGACUAUCAUCACAAAAUCGUUUUCAUGUUUGUAAUUAAAUAUGAACUCGUCACCCACAUAAAAAAAUUUCGAUGAAGCCCAUUCGUUGUAAUCAACCGCACCACUGUCGGUCCACCCUUCCAAAUCGCCACCAACCGUAUAAAUGGUAGCGGAACAAGCACCAAAGAAAAUCAUCAUGAUGAUGAAACUCACGACAGCAGUGUUUCUUAGAGCCAUGACUGAAACAGUAAAGAAAAAACAAGCAAGGAGUAUGCACGUAGACAAAUUUAGAUGAAAGGUAGUAAUGCCCGAGCAUGCGUAUAUAUAGGAAAGGUAUAGUUAGUGUCCGAAAUGGAAAAUGUUCCCCAAAUCCAGUUGGAAAACGAUUUAUAAAAUCAGACAAGUAGUAGGAAUUCUAUUUAGGAAUAAUAUUGCCCAAGCUUAAUUAAUAAUCGAAUUCCAAUUUGCUGCCGUUUUGUCGGCUGCUUUUGCUUCCAACUUCUGCUUGUUUCCAUGUAUGAUGAAACAUUUUAUUUUUAUUAUAAGUCACAGUGGAGAAGCGACAAUCGAACUCGGGUCUUCGGGUUGCAUGAUGCAAAUUUAGUGCAUAAAAGGAUUCCAAUUUCUUAUUAGCAUUUGGAAUCUUUGUUGCUGUUUUUAUGGCAUGGCCAGAGACAAGACUCAUUUACUUUGUGCCUGAUUGUCGAGAGAAGCAGCACUGCUUCGGUGUCACUGGCUCCCUCUUUGUGACGAGAGAUACAAAGAGCAGUAUUGACACCGGAUAGAAAAGCAUUUAUCCCACUAGCGAGGCCUCGACUGAGCAACUUUGAGCCGCCAACAAAACCAUGGUGGCAAUGGUCUUUAUUGUUAGAGUAUAUAUUCAAUGGUCCAUGAUUGUGACACUUGUCACAAUCUUGGUGUAUUGGUUAGUUAGUGACUAGUUUUGUAACUGCCUAUAUAAGGCAAGGUUGUUGUAUUACUUAGUAAGAAAGAAAUAUACUUUACAGAAAAUUCUCUUCUCUUCUUCUCCUUCCUCUCUCUCUACUUUCUCUCUCUAGUUCUUGCAUACUAUAGAAAGAUUACAAAAAGAUAUACAGUUCAACUCAUGAAGAUUAACAUGGUAUCACUAGCCAUUGUUGUUGACGCGUGAUCUUCGAUCCUUCUUGCUUCCGCUUCUUCCUCCUUCAUCUUCGGUAUCCUCGGAUUUUCUUAUCAGACUCAAUCUUCUUUGCUUUCUAGGGUUUUGUUGUCGAUUAUUCAUUGUGAUUGAUUUCUGGUUCGAUUUGUUGUGUGCGAUCUCUGCACAUUAAGUAUUUGUGAAAAUUUCUGACUAAAAUUGGGGUUGUGCUUCAAGAAUCUGCAAUCUUGCGUGAAAGAUGGUGACUACAUCUCAGCUACAGUUGCUUCAAUCUCCGGUUACGAACCUUAUUUCGUCGAUCUCGACCUCCGUUAACAUCAAGCUUGAUGACUCCAAUUAUCUUAAUUCGCAUUUUCAAAUGCAACUCUUGUUGGAAAGCAAUGGUAUUAUGGGAUUUUUGGAUGGCUCGAACCCUUGUCCGUCUCAAAAUCUCUCAUAAAUUGGUGGAUCUGGUAUUAAUCCCUCUGCCUCUUCUACUUCUACUGAGAAUGAUGCUUUUGUGAUUUGGAUAAUGCAUGAUAGGGCUAUAAUGCAAUUGAUUACUGUGACUUUAUCACUUGUGGCUAUGUCAUGUGCUAUUGGGAGUCAAAGCUCGAGAGAUCUUUGGAAUCGUUUAAAGGCGCAAUGUUCCACUGUAUCCAAAACAAGUAUAUUUCAGAUGAAGUCGAACUUGCAGACAAUUAAAAAGGGGUCUGAUUCCAUUUCUGUUUAUCUGCAAUGAAUUAAAUAAGCUAGGGAUUAUUUGUCAGCUACUGGAGUGUUCUUUCAAGAUGAGGAUAUUGUAAUACUAGCUCUUAAUGGUUUGCCCUCUGAAUACAAUACUUUUCGUUGUGUCAUCCAAGGUCGUGAAAGUGUCAUUUCCCUAAAAGACUUUCGAGCACAGUUACUUGCUGAAGAAGUCAUUGUUGACAAUCAUUCGAAUGCAUCUUUUAUGACUGCUAUGGUUGCUAAUUCUCAGCCUAAAAAUGCAUCAUCCUCAUCACAGUCGUUUGGCAAUACUCAUGGUCAAUCCCAAUUUGCCUUUGGAGGUUACAAAGCUUACAAUGGGAAUAAAAAUAAGGGCAAAGGCAAGUAUUAGGGACACAGAUUCUUCAAAUCCCAGACUUGUGUACUCAAAUCAGGCGCAUAUUUUGUCUACUCCUGCAUCAGGAGAUAUGUGGGGUCUUCAUCUACACCUAUGUUUCCUCCAUGUCAGUUAUGUAACAGUGAUGGUCACACUGCUCCAUUUUGUGGUGCAAAGCCUCCAGACAGGCAUGGCUGUCAAAUCUGUGGAAAAACAAAUCAUGUGACUUGGUUUUGUUUCUACAACGAUAAAAGGCCUAACUAGCUGUCCUCGUUCACCACAAUCAUAUGGGUUCCAAUUUGCACAUCCUAACCUUCACAUGUUGCCUCCUUCAUCUCAGUAUUCAUAUCAAGGGUUUCCACAACAACAUACACAUCAGCUACAGCAAUAUCCAAUGCAUGUUAUGCACACUGUGUUCAAUUCUACACCUCAAACUGCAACUCCAUCAGCACCUCCACAAGUUUGGUUGAUUGAUUUUAGAGCAACCAAUCAUAUGACUGCUAACAUGAGCAACUUAUCAUUGGCAUCACCCUAUCCUACUAGUGAGACCAUACAAACUGCCAAUGGUGAAGGUUUACAAGUCUCCCAUAUUGGGAAUUUUAUCAUUCAUACUCCAGCAAAACCAAUCAAAUUAAAUUAUGUGUUAUAUGUUCCCAAGUUAACACAAAAUUUAUUGUCAGUACAUAAGAUUUGCCUUGAUAAUAAUUGUUGGCUAAUCUUUGAUGCAUUUUGUUUUCGGAUGCAGGAUAAGGCCACAUGAAUGAUUCUCUACAAAGGGCUGUGUAGUAAUGGACAAUAUCCCAUUUAUUCCCUUUCCUAUACCAACUCCAGUACUUCACAAAGUCAACCAUCAGCAAAAGCUUUUCUGGGACAGCUUGUUAAAUCGCAGCUUUGGCAUCAUAGGUUAGGUCAUCCAACCAACCAUGUUGUUUCUCUUAUGUUAAAUAAAGCCAAUGUACCUAGUACCCCUUCUAAGUCAUCUGUUUUGUGCCAUCAUUGUCUUGAAGGCAAAUUUAGCAAAUUACCCCUUCCAACUCAUGUCAAUAAGUCUAUUAAGCCUUUUGAAAUUGUGCACAGUGACUUUUAGGGUCCUGCACCUUGUGUCUCUGUUGAUGGUCACAAAUAUUAUGUAAUCUUCAUUGAUGAAUAUAGCAGACAUUGUUGGCUUUUUCCAUUGAUAAACAAGUCUAAUAUGUACUCUACCUUUCUUGCAUUCUAUUUUUUUUGUACUUAAUCAAUUCUCUACUACGAUUAAGAUUUUACAAAGUAAUGGUGGGGGAGAGUAUAUGAGUCACAGGCUUCAAUCUUUUCUUCUGAACAAAGGUAUUGUUCAUCAUAAGUCCUGUCCAUACACACCUGAACAAAAUGGGUUAGUUGAACGCAAACAUAGGCAUAUUAUAGAAACCACUGUGACAUUAUUGCAAACUGCUAAACUGCCACAUCAAUUUUGGUCUUAUGCUUGUCAAACUGCUACCCAUCUUAUAAAUAGAAUGCCAACUGUUGUUCUUAAAAACAGGUCACCAUUUGAACUUUUAUUUGGCAGUGCUCCAUUAAUAUCACAUCUUCGAAUAUUUGGUUGUGUAUGUUUCCCUUUGUUAAAACCAUUCAACAGCACCAAACUUCAACCCAAAACCACAAGAUGUAUUUUUCUAGGAUAUGCUUCUAAGUAUAAGGGGUAUAUGUGUUAUGAUGUGCCUAAGAUAAGGAUUUACAUUUCUAGGCAUGUUAUUUUUUAUGAACACCAAUUUCCAUAUGCAGAUUUAAUGAUACAAUCCACUAGUACUAAAUCUAAUUCAUCAGUUCUCACUUCAUCCUCCAUUCCCAUAUCAGUGGUUAAUACAAACAAUGUCAUUGUGUCUCCAUCACCAAUAUCUUCUAAUACACCAGUAUCGGUACCACUUCAUUCAUUCAAUAUACCAGAUAUUCAUCCAAAUCCUUCACUUAAUCCUCAGUCCAUUACUAGUGCACCUGAAUUUUCCUCUCAGCUCCCUGUGGUACUUGAUCCAAAUACUAUAAUAUGUACUCAGAACACUGAGUUUCAUCCUGAUUCUCUGCAAGCUGUUUUGGAUAUUCCUUCAAUCAAUUUGCAUCCAAUGCAAACUCGAAGCAAAAGUGGUAUUUUUAAAAAGAAGGCUUUACUAGCAUCUAUUCAAGAUUCUGAGGGGAUUGAUUUGUCCACAAUUGAACCAAGCUCUUAUAAGUCUACUCUUAAAAGUCCUAUAUGGUUCAAAGCCAUGCAAGAAGAACUGGAUGCUCUCAAAGCUCAGGGUACUUGGACUCUGGUUUCUUUGCCAUCUACUAAAAAUCUUGUUGGCUGCAAGUGGAUCUUCAAAAUCGAAAGACACUUUGAUGGAUGGAUCUAUUGCUCGACAUAAAGCUCGUUUGGUAGCUAAGGGGUUUAGUCAAGAACCUGGUUUGAAUUAUGGUGAGACUUUUAGCCCUAUGGGAUCUUAGACAAUUGGAUGUUAAAAAUGCAUUCUUACACUUUGAUGGAUGGAUCUAUUGCUCGACAUAAAGCUCGUUUGGUAGCUAAGGGGUUUAGUCAAGAACUUGGUUUGGAUUAUGGUGAGACUUUUAGCCCUAUGGUUAAACCUACUACUGUGAGGUUAGUACUUGCUCUUACUGCAAAUUUUGGUUGGGAUCUUAGAUAAUUGGAUGUUAAAAAUGCAUUCUUACAUGAAGUUUUGGAAGAAGAAGUUUAUAUGACUCAACCACCUGGUUUUCAGGAUCCCAUUAAUUCUCAUUUGCCUAAGUUGGGAUUUGUCAAUACAUAUGCAGAUUCUUCUAUGUUUGUCAAAUAUGUUGAAAAUACAAUUGUGAUCCUUCUGCUUUACGUGGAUGAUAUAAUCAUCACUAGGACUGCUACAACUUCAAUUUCACAUUUUAUCAGUGCUCUUACUACUGAGUUCGAUAUCAAAGAUAUGGGGCCCUUACAUUUUUUCUUGGGCAUUCAGAUUUCCAAGACUACCAGUGGAUUGUUUCUGUCCCAAACUAAAUACAUUCAUGAUUUGUUAGUGAAGACUGAAAUGCUUGAAGCAAAAGCCUGUGAGACAUCAUGCCUUCCAUAUAAUCGCCUUCUUAAACAUGAUGGUGAUCCUUAUGCUAAUCCUGGUGCUUAUAGGAGUAUUGUGGGAGCUUUACAGUAACUUACUUUCACUAGGCCUGACAUUGCAUUUUCAGUGCAUCAGGUAUGCCAAUUUAUGCAGAAACCUAUGGUAGCUCAUUAUACUACUGUAAAACGAAUUCUCAGGUACUUAAAAGGUACUAUGAAUGUGGGUGUUACCUAUACUCGAGGAGAUCUUCACCUCAAGGCCUUUAGUCAUGCAGAUUGGGCAGGAGAUCCUAAUGACAGAUGGUCCACUACGGGGUUGGUUGUGUUUUUAGGUUCAAAUCUCAUAUCUUAGUCCUCAAAGAAACAACAAACCGUGUCUAGAUCAUCUACUAAGCAGAAUAUAGAGCUCUUUCUUCCACUUCUGCAGAAUUAGAUUGGAUUAAGCAAUUGCUUGCAUUUCUGCAUAUUCCCGUGACUAUACCUCCAGUUCUUUUCUAUGAUAACUUGUCAGCUAUUGCCCUGUCAUUUAAUCAUGUGCAACACCAGAAGACUAUGCAUAUUGAAAUCGAUGUCCAUUUUGUUCGAGAACAAGUGGCCAAGAAACAGUUGACAGUGCAGUUUGUUUUGUCCCAAGAAUAAUUUGCUGAUAUAUUGACCAAAGGUUUAAGUGGUCCUUUGUUUAGAACUCAUUGUAUCAAUCUCAUGCUUAGUUCAUUAAAGCAUGAGCUUGUGGGGGGAUGUUAGAGUAUAUAUUCAAUGGUCCAUGAUUGUGACACUUGUCACAAUCUUGGUGUAUUGAUUAGUUAGUGACUAGUUUUGUAACUACCUAUAUAAGGCAAGGUUGUCGUAUUACUUAGUAAGAAAUAUACUUUACAGAAAAUUCUCUUCUCUCCGUCUCCUUCCUCUCUCUCUCUCUCUCUACUUUCUCUCUCUAGUUCUUGCAUACUAUAGAAAGAUUACAGAAAUAUAUACAGUUCAAUUCAUGAAGAUUAACAGUUAUUACAAUUAAUUUUGAGCAAAUCUAAUAGUGAUAGGUUUACCGAAUGAUGGUAGACAACAAAGUUUACGAUGAAGAUGUCUUGACUUGAAACCCAUGUAAUCAUUCUUUUUGAUAAAGCAAACCGGAACACAACAAAUUGAAAGAUUUCGAAAUAAUGGCUAGCAUUCUAAAAUCAUAGCUUCAGAAUUCUGCACUUUAGAACUAUUGAAUUAUAAGCAAUGAGCUGAUUAGAGUAUAGUGAAUUAGCCAUGUGUUUAAUUUUGUAUUCACUUAUGUUUAAGAUUACCAAGUGUAAGGCUCUAAUAUAUAAGGUCAUGAGUGCCAUGUGUAAUGAUCCUAGUUAUUAGCUAGAUGAGUGGCUAAGAUCAGCUUCUAUAGAAAGAGUGAUCGAACUAAGUUUUUCUAACGGUAUUAUUCUCUUUGCACGACUUGUGUGUGGGAGUGAGAGAAGCAAUCAAUGAGAAGAAUAUUUCCUCUGUGACUUGCAGAGAAAGAAGCAACCAUUUUCCUCUCUCUUGUGCAUUCAUCUCUCUUCAAUUCUUCUUCUUCCAAAAUAUCAAUUUACUGAGCUAAAUUCCAAUUUACACUAACAAGAACCACAACACUGGUUUUCCAGCAACUUGUUCAUAAAGCUAAAACUCAUCAAAAAGGACAAUUAAGCGUUGCAGUAUUUCGGUUGCUCCACAUUCUUAAAACACUUGCAGAAAUUGAAAAGCCGUGACAAGAAUGGAUAUAUUAAAUCGAAAUCCAUUGCACAGCUUUUGGGUGUAUACAGAGUCCAACUUAUGAACCUUGAAAAAAAGUCUAAAACUCUCCCAUAGAUUUGCCUAGGGUGCAUAGUUUUAUGGAAAGAAAUCAGUUUCGACAAAAGAAAAACUGGAAGAAAACAACCCAAUGUUAGAAAAAUGUUGAAGGAGAAUAAAACUUGCUGAACCUGGUUUCUUAAAACUAGACCCAACCAAUCAAGUUACGGGGUGUUAUACUGACUUCAUAUCGCUCUUGACUAUGAACAAGAGCUAGUGACAUCAAAGACCAGUUCAUUUAUGGAGAAGAGUCACGAGCUACCUGAUGGACAGGUAAUCACUAUCGGAGCUGAAAGAUUCUGCUGCCCUAAAGUCCUCUUCCAGCCAUCCAUGAUUGGAAUGGAAGCUGCCGGUGUUGGUUAUUAUACUUAUUUUAAUAAUAUUUUAUUUUAAAGAUUCAAAACUUAUUAUUAUUUUAUUUUAUUUAUUUUUAAUAUUUAAGAGUUGUGUUUUAUUUGAAGAGUCAUAAUCCUUUUAUAAAAAGGUAUGAGAAGUUCUUUAAAUAUGAAACCUCAGACACAAAACAAAAUACGCUAAAACUUUUCUGUCUCCCUCAGUUUUCACAUCUCAAUUUACAUUACUACUUCAUAAUUCUUGGGCAAUUGAUCACUACUUGGCAAUCCCGUCUGCCGUUGGCGUGCAUAUCAGAUCAGACAUCAUGUGAGGCUUUGGGUUGUAUCUUGGAGUUAUAGGCACCGCCAUAACUUGCAUGUAAGGCGGCGUCUACGACUUUAAGGCAACGACAUCGCACCUCUCUUUGGUUUACAGGCCAGAUAUUUUUAUUCCUUUUUUCCUAAUUUAAAUUUCAUAAGUCUGAUAGUGAUUAUACAUUUGAUUUGAUAUAUUUGAUCAUAUAAAUAAUUGAUAUAUUUCUGGAAUAUAUUUCACAAUCUAAAGCCGUAAAAAUGUGAUAAUAUAAUUGCAAAUUUUUAUAAUAUGUUUUCACGGUACUUUGAAAGUCCAAUAAUUGUAGUUUUCAUGCCAUUGAAUUUUCUGGGAAAGGCCAACCAUACCCUUCGUUGAUUGCAUCCAUGGUCUAAAAUAUCCAUAAAAUCGCGAUAUUUCCAUCGAAAUUUCCGUGUUUUUGGACUACCGAUAUUUCCGAUAUCAUCGAUAUUUUAGAUCUUGCUAAGUCACUCAUGUAUCUUACCAUGCAAUGUAUAAAGUGUAAAAUAUUGUACUAAUUCAUUAUAUAUAAAUGAUUAUGGUGUGUUUAAACUUAUUUCAUUAAUUACUACAUAUUUUCUACACUCACAAUGUUUGCCAGCUCGCUAUAUAAUCAACUUAAAUCAAUUAUAUCUAUCAUGCAAUGCAUUUCCUUCCAAUUUUUUGUGAUAAACUAAUAUAUAAUUGACUAAAUAAACAUCCUGCAAAGUUUCGAUAAAAAUUUCCAAGUUUUUCUUAUAAUUUCCGUGGUUUUUAUUCAAUUUUUAUCGAUAUCGAUAAUAUCCCGAUAUUUCCAUCGAAAUUUUCGUGUUUUUGGACUACCGAUAUCAUCGAUAUUUUAUACCUUGAUUGCAUCUUUGAUUCUCUGCAAUAUACUCCUUGUACUCCUGCUGUUAAUAAUUUGCCUCUCUGCAUUUUUUUAAUUAUUUGGGUCCUGUCGCUAAAAGCCUAGGAAGGCUAACAUUUCCCUUCUUUUCAUGACUGUGCCCUUCUUUCAUUAUUUUUUGACUUUUUGCAUUUUUUAUUUUUAUUUUUAUUUUAUUCAAUACCAAAACACUUUUGGAUACAGCUUCUAAAGGACACGGUUGAUCAAUUUAAAAUACUAAUUUAUAGCCCACAAAACCAGCGUGAUUUGAAACGUUUUAUUCAAUUCGCGAACUCCAUGUGUGUGCCCAUCUCUAUCCAUUCGGAUAUUUUUGACCCAUCCAAACCAUUUUUUUACACAUAGUGCUAUUACAAUUUGACUACAAUUGCAUAUCAAUAUGUUAAUUGCUUUAUGCUUUAAUUAAAUCUGUGCGUGAUUAUCAUUAUUAAUUGAUCUAUGGUUAUUAUACAGUAGUAUAGUUUAUCCUAUAUUUGUUAAAAUUUUUGAGUGACAAACUUGUUUUAAUUUCUACAAUGUUGUAGCAAUCUUAUUUCUCUCUCACUUACUACUAGUCAAUAUUACAUAACAAAUGGCAAGCCUAGAAGAAGCCAAUAGUGUUAAGCCUAAAAAAUUUAGUGGCCAUAAUUUCCGUAGGUGGCAAAAAUAAGUGAAAUAUUGGUUAACUGUUUUAGGACUUGUAUCCGCACUUGAAGAAACUCAAUCAAACAAAGAUUCCUCUUCUAAAGAGUCAUCUUCUAAACUAACCCCUGAACUAAUAGAAUACCAUUAUCACAACAGAAUCUUAAGUGCCCUCUAUGAUGUGUAUCAUGGUACUACAUCCACCGCCAAAGAACUUUGGGAAACUUUAGAAGUGGAAUAUGGAAUUGUAGAUGCUGGGAUGGAUAGGUUCACAGUCUCGAGCUCUAAUGAUUAUAAGGUGGUAAAUAAUAAGUCUGCGGGGGAACAAAUACAUGAGUAUCAAGAGCUAUUAAGAGGUGUUGCAAACGAAGUUCAAUGAGGACUUUAAAGUCUCCUACCUUAUUGAUAAACUGCCUCAAUCUUGGAAUGACUUUGCUAGAACCUUAAGGCAUAAACAAGGAGAACUUACUUUAGUUCGAGUCAUAAAUUCAAUUAGGAUCGAAGAGAAGCAUAGGUCAAGCCAAAAGAAGGAAACCGAAAAGCAAACAACUGUGAACUUAGUUGAGAAUGACACCCACAAAAAUGGAAAAAAACAAAAACAAGUUCACCAUAAAUAAUAAGAAGAAUUACAAACCUAGAAGAACAAAUUUUAAAUUCAAAUCACCCAACCAAAAUAAGAACUUUCACAAGACUAAGGAUCAAGGGAGAGAGAAAGGGGUUUGCUUUGUUUGCGGAAGAACUAAUCAUAAGGCUAAGGAUUUCUUCUACAAGAAGACUAAGGCGAACAAGUAUAAGUCAAAUCAUAAUGUCCAAACGCCCAAGUAAAUAUGUUGAUGGAGCAACAAAUCUUCUCAAACACAUUUUAAGUAUGAUUCCUUUGUCAAUUUUACUUAUGAAAAUAAGGAUUGGUGGGUAGAUUCUGGAGCUAACGUACAUGUCUGUUUUGAUCGUGAAUUUUUUAAAACCUAUCAGAAAUCAGGUGGAGGACGUGUAACUCUAGGAAAUGACUCAAUGUCACAAGUGCUUGGAAUUGGAGACAUAGAACUAAAGAUGACAUCUAGAAAGGUCUUAAUUUUGAAGGACGUGCGACAUGUACCUGAUAUUAGAAGAAAUUUAAUUAGUGGAUCAUGCUUAGUAAAGUAAGGCUAUAAAGUUGUAAUGGAAUCAAAUAAGGUUGUAAUAACCAAGAAUAAUGUAUUUAUUGGAAAAGGUUUUAUUAGUGAAGGAUUAUUUAAGCUAAGUGUUUCUUCCGAGUGCAAUAAUAUUCCAAAAGUUCUUAACGUUGAAUCUAGUAAUGUUUGGCAUGGACGGUUGGGACAUGUACACUUGUUCAAAAUUAAGAAAAUGAUGGAUUUGGACCUAGUCCCAAAGUCAAACAUGAAUCUCAAGCAUAAGUGUGAAAUUUGUGUACAAACAAAACAACCCAAGAAACCUUUUAAGUUCGUGUAAAGGAAUACCCAAAUUUUAGAGCUUAUACAUAGUGAUGUUUGUGACUCAAAUAGAUUACCUACUAGAGCCGGUAAUAAUUAUUUUAUCACAUUUAUAGAUGAUUGUUCGAAGUAUUGUUAUAUUUAUUUGAUAAAGACCAAUGAUGAAGUAUUCGGUAAAUUCAAGAUUUACAAGACAGAAGUAGAAAAUCAAUUGGAGAAAAGGACAAAUAGACUUAGGUCUGAUAGAGGUGGUGAGUACACUUUUACCGAUAUUAGUGUUUUUUGUGAAGAGCAUGGUAUUAUACAUGAAGUAACAGCACCCUAUUCUCCACAAUCAAAUGGAGUUGCAAAGAGGAAGAAUAGGACCUUAUUGGACAUGGUGAAUGCAAUGUUUUUGAAUUCUAGAUUACCAGAAAAUUUGUGAGGGGGAGCAAUUUUGACUGCAUGUUUUAUAUUAAAUAGAGUGAUCAUUAAAGACAACACUACUACUCCAUAUGAAAUUUGGAGAAAGAGAACACCAAAUAUCCAAGUCUUGAAAGUGUGGGGAUGUUUGACUAAACUUGCAAUCCCAGAACCUAAGAGAAAAAAGAUAGGAUCUAAAACCGUGGAUACUAUUUUCUUAGGUUAUGCUCAUAAUAGUAGUGCCAAUAGAUUUCUAGUCAUCAACUCUGAAAUAAAUGAAAUUUUGAAUAACACUAUAUUUGAGUCUAGGGAUGCAACAUAUUUUGAAGACAUAUUUCCUUUCAAGACUAGAAUGCAAAAGCAAGUGGUAGAUAGAUCAUGCACUAGUACUGACAAAGCCUUCACAAGUAUUAGCCAUCAAGUUACAAAUGAAGAAGAACCUCUAGCUGAACUUAGAAGGAGUAAGAGACCUAGAGUGGAGAAGAACUUUGGUGAUGAUUUUUAUACUCUUCUAAUUGAAGGUGAUCCAACAACAUAUAAGGAAGCCAUGAUCUUCGUCGAUGCUCCAUUUUGGAAAUAAGCUAUAAAUAGUGAAGUUGAGUCUAUUUUAUAAAAUAACACUUGGGAGUUAACGUAUUUACCACCCGGUACUACACCAAUUGGUUGUAAGUGGGUAUUUAGGAAGAAACUAAAGCCUGAUGGAAGUAUAGACAGGUACAAAGCUAGGCUAGUAGCCAAGGGAUUAACUCAAAAGAAAGGAAUUUAUUAUUUUGACACUUACUCUCUUGUGUCUAGGAUUACCACAAUUAGGAUCCUCAUAGCAUUAGCUUCUAUACACAGUUUAGUAGUACGUCAAAUGGAUGUUAAAACAAAAUUUUUGAAUGGAAACUUAGAUGAAGAAAUUUACAUGGAGCAACCCAAAGGAUUUAUAGUGAAAGGCCAAGAACAUAAAGUGUGUAAGUUGGUUAAAUCACUAUAUGGACUCAAGCAAGCUCCUAAGCAGUGGCAUGAGAAGUUUGAUAAAGUCAUUUUAGAAUAUGAUUUUGAAAUUAAUGAGCAUGAAAAGUGUGUCUACUAUAAGGAAUGCAAUGUACAAUGUGUUAUUUUAUGCCUUUAUGUUGAUGAUAUACUAUUAUUUGGAACAAGUUUGGAAAUUGUGAAAGAUGUUAAAUCUUAUCUGUCAAAGAGAUUUGAUAUGAAAGAUCUAGGAGAAUCCAAUAUUAUUUUGGGAAUGAAAGUAGAAAGAACACAAGCAGGUUUUAUUAUAAACCAAGCUAGUUCAAUUGAGAAAAUGCUUAAGAAGUUCAAUAUUUUCAAUUGCAGUCCUGUCUCGACACCAUAUGAACCAAGUGUGUGCUUACUUAAAAAUAGUGGUGAACCCGUUUGUCAACUCGAGUAUUCUCAAAUGAUUGGGUCUUUGAUGUAUAUAGCAAAUAAAACUAGACCCGAUAUAACUUAUGCGGUUGGAAGGCUGAGUAGAUACACUCACAAUCCAAGUAAUGAACACUGGAAUGCUUUAAGGCGAAUGUUUAAGUAUCUAUGAGGAACUAUGGAUUAUUCUAUACACUAUAAAGGAUUUCCUUAUGUAGUAGAAGGGUACAGUGAUGCAAAUUGGAUCACUGAUAGCUCUGAAGUGAAAUCUACUUUAGGUUAUGUAUUUUUAUUGGGAGGAGCAGCUAUAUCUUGGGGAUCUAAGAAACAAACAAUAAUUUCUAGAAGUACAAUGGAAUCUGAACUCAUAGCCCUUGAUACUGCAUGUAUAAAGGCUGAAUGGAUUAAGAAUUUUUAACUUGAUAUCUCAUUGGUGAGCAAGCCUAUACCUGCCAUCUCCAUACAUUGUGAUAAUAAAGCCGUGAUAGAUUUAGUGAGGCAGACACAUACAAAUAAGAAAUUAAAUAGACAUAUUAAUGUUAGAUACAAAUCUAUGAGAAGCUUGUUAAAUAAAGAAGUUGUUUCUUUGGACUAUGUGAAGUCGGAAAAGAACAUUGCUGAUCAAUUGGCCAAAGGUCCAUCUAGGAAUGGAGUCCUAGAUUUGUCGAGGGGGAUGAGCUUAAACCCAUAAGGAAGUCACCUAGGGAAGAAACCCAACCUUUGUGAUUGGAGAUCCCAUGAAGAAGGUUCAAUGGGUAGAAACAAUCCAUAUUGCGUGACUUAUAUUCCGGCACUCUAAAAUAGGAGAUUUGAAAUAAAAUCCCCUGCUUAUCCCUAUGACAUUUGUGUUGAUGAUAUGUGAUGUUAAGGAAGGACAUUGUCCUAAAUGAGUUCCAAGGUGGGCAAUCUCCCGUAGAGUACAGGUCACAUGUACUCUUGGAGGACUCACCUAAGUGAGAGUAGUCGUGAGGCCACGACUGUGAGAAUUGGGUUGUUCUCUAAAAACACUCAUGAGAAUCAAGAUUAAGCACAUGGCCAUUAAUAGCGCUAACCCGCACUAAGUUUUUUAUCAAUACUAUGUGUGUCAUAUGUUGUAAUCUGAAUUAGAGGAAUCUAGUUCAAGACUUAGUUCACUAUGAUUCCUUCAAAUGAAAACUAUGAAUACUAAGAGUAGGUUCAAGUCCAAAAGACACCUACACCCAUUGCAUGGUAUACAAAUUGCCCAAACUUCCGUUUCUUCAAUUGUGUCUAUUUUAUUCCUCAUAGAGUUUUGAAUCUUGUGGGGGAUUGUUGGUUAUUUUAAUUAUUUUAAUAAUAUUUUAUUUUAAAGAUUCAAAACUUAUUAUUAUUUUAUUUUAUUUAUUUUUAAUAUUUAAGAGUUGUGUUUUAUUUGAAGAGUCAUAAUCCUUUUCUAAAAGGGUAUGAGAAGUUCUUUAAAUAUGAAACCUCAGACACAAAACAAAAUACGCUAAAACUUUUUUGUCUCCCUCAAUUUUCACAUCUCAAUUUACAUUCCUACUUCAUAAUUCUUGGGCAAUUGAUCACUACUUCGCAAUCCCGUCUGUCGUUGGCGUGCAUAUCGGAUCAGACAUCCUGUGAGGCUUUGGGUUGUAUCUUGGAGUUGUAGGCACCGCCAUAACCUGCACGUAGGGAGGCAUCUACGGCUUUAAGGCAGCGACAUUGCGCCUCUCUUUGGUUCACAGGCCAGAUAUUCUUAUUCCUUUUUUUACUAAUUUAAAUUUCACUAGCCUUUCUGCACGCACUCAUGCGCGUGCAAAAGGCUUUUUUACAUCAUGGGGCGCUACGCGUGGCACUUAGAGUUAUUUUUUCUUUUUACAUUUGUUCACGCAUAAAGAUUUUCUUCUGGUUACAAUGUGCUAAGCACAAUGUACAAUUUUUUAUUUUAAUAUUUGUAUUUGUCAAGAGACAUUCUUUCAUUUUAUUUUUUUUGGGGGGGGGGGUAAAAGUUUGAAUGAACUUUUGCACCUUAGAUUUAACUUAAGAUACAACAAAUCUCUCAACUUGGAAAGAGAAAAUCAUAUAAACAAAAUGAAGCUAAACAUGAUUACACUAUCUAAAUUGUCGUCAAACUGCAUAAAUGAACCGCACAAACACAACCUCAAUAUACAAAGAAAAAGUAACCCUCCAUCGUAAAAAAUAAUAUUACAGUAAAAUUACAAUCUUGAACUCUGAAUUGGUCAACCAACAAAUCACAAUAAAAAUUUUGCCUAAACAGGAGAAGCUUCUUGUUGCUAAGAUGACUUUUUCUUUGGAUGCCCCAUUGUGCUUAACUUUGACAUAGGAACCCAAAACUGUUGAAGGGAGAUUGAAUGUCACGGUAAAAUUAAACUUCACAAUGAAACCGAUUAGAAAACGUAAAACUGAAGUAAACCUUCUUAUGAUUGACAUAUAAAAUAUGAACAUUCACAACCAAAUACACAUAAAAUUACUAUUUACUGAUUGUAUGUUUACUGCAACAAACAGAAGAAUACAUAGAGCAAGUAGAAAAGCCAUAUCUUAGUACGACAUCUUACCAUUCACGUUUGCAUUGGUUGUGUUGUCGAAGAAGAUGGAAACUCUUCUCUUUGCCGGAACAUUCUUCUCAAAAAGUAGUUGGGUGAAAAACUGAUUGCAUCUUAUUUGCAGCCUGCAAAAUUAUUUAAGUAGAUCACAUUAUGAAAUACAAAUGAAAAUGCCUACUAAAGUACCCAUCAAGUCAAAUAUUUUCUGAAAAAAAAAAGUCCCUCUUUUCUCAUUUGUUUUCUUUUUCUGGCCAUGUGCAACUGAAAUGACCCAACUCUCCAUUGCGUGGGAUCAUUAUCUGAUUUAUUAAAAAAAAUCUCAAAAAAUCUGAUUGUAAAUAGUAAACUGAAAUUAUGCGGUGCAAGUCAAAAUCUGUAUUUAGAUGGUCAAUCAAAAUCCAAUACCAAUGAGAGUGGAAUGUAGAUAAGAGCUUACCGGUUUCGCCCCAAAUAUCAAAGUCAAUAUGUCAUCGGGAUUUCCAAUCAAAUCAUAAAUUCCAGAAGGCAAAUCAUACAUUGAGCACAGAAAAACAAAGAAAAGAGUUAGCACAUUUUGCUUUGACAAUAAAAAGAAAAAUUAAAUCUCUCACAAAUGUUGCAAUAAAAUAUGUGAAAAGCUCCAAUAACUAAUCCAAGGCUACAACACCUUGAAAAUGGUGGAACAGAAAUACGGGAGAGAGUAAAAAAAAAGGAGUUAACAUAGCUUGCGUGGUGCAUAAGUUUAUACAAUUUGUUAUUAGUUCAGUUUGAUAAAAAAAAGAAAACUGCUUUUUGCUCAAUGUGGGUGUAGUUUUUCAGUUUUCACGUUCUACUUUUUUAUUAGAAGGAUUCAACACGUCUCUUUUUUAUUUUUUGUUAUAAAACAAAUUUUUACAAAAUCAUCCUGCGUUUUAUUAUUAUAUUUUCGUAUUUUUAUGCAUUUAUAUGGGAUAAUAAUCUCUCUCCUAAAAUGGAGGAGGAGUGGGGUUAGUUGCCUUGGCCUCCAUUUUUAGUGAUAUUUAAUCUCUCCUUAGUCCAGCACGUCUUCCCCUUUUUAUUUUAUUUUUUCCUUUUUAUUUUCUUCUAAGAAAACGAAUUUUAGAUUUAUGUUUUUUUUUACAAAAUUGCCCUUGCUUGUUUUCAUGCAUCAAAUUCAGCCAGUUUUAGUUUUUUUUGUUUUAAGGGCUUUUCAGUCCAUUUAUUUUUGGUGAAGCCUUUAGACACCAAAGUGCUUUUGGCUUUCUAAUUUAAAUUUCAUAAGUCUGAUAGUGAUUAUACAUUUGAUUUGAUAUAUUUGAUCAUAUAAAUAAUUGAUAUAUUUCUGCAAUAUAUUUCACAGCCGGUAUCCAUGAAACCACAUACAACUCUAUCAUGAAGUGUGAUGUUGAUAUUGUUGGAAAUUCAAAUCAAAACAGGUUGUAAAUGGCAGCUGCUAGCUGUUAGUUUCUUUACAGGUUGUAUUCACACUUGCUGCAACUACAAAGACUAAAGUUUCCUCCAUGUGCCAGCUGAAAGUGUGUUGAAAGACAGCAGCUGUGUGCUGCCAUGUGAUGUGCUAGCCGAAACUAUGUUGAUUGCAAGCUGGAAAGAUAGCUGCACAUGUGUGCUAGACUGUCCAAAGUUCAUAUGAUCUGUUUGUGUGUGCUGUUGUGUUUAUUUUAUUAAAAGCACUUGAGUGGUCCUUCAUUUUCUGCUUGUAUAAAUAAGCCUCCCGUAAGGCUUUAGGUAGUGUCUCUGAUUUGUCAUUCCAUUUCAGAAGUGUGUUUGCAAACUAUUUUAAAUAUAUCAAAGUGCAUUGUUUGCCGAAGCUUGUAGCUUCCCUCAUUUCUCUAUUUCUUUGUCCAAUUUUAUUGAGAGUGCAAAGUGAGAGGUGUGAUAAAGUUUGUAAACUUAUCACCCAUAUAUUUUGGUAUUGAGUUAGUAAACUUCUCAAUACCAACAAUUGGUAUCAGAGCCAGAAUACCAUUCUGGCAGGUGCAGCAGUUAUGGCAUCCAACUUAGUGCAGCUUCAAGUUCCCACAUUGAAGAAAGAAAAUUAUGAAAGAUGGUGCAUCCAAUUCAAAGCAUUGUUUGGAUCACAAGAGCUAUGGGAAGUUGUCAGUAGUGGGUAUGUUGUACCCACUACAGAGCAAGAAGCCACAUAUACUGCAAAUCAAAUGACCACUCUCAAGGAUUUACGAAAGAAAGACCAGAAGGCGUUGUAUCUUCUUUAUCAAGGAUUAGAACAUUCAACGUUCAAGAAGGUUGCAGAAGCAACAACGAGCAAGCAAGUAUGGGACACACUCAGUACAAUCUACAAAGGAGUAGAUCGAGUCAAGAAAGUGAGGUUACAGUCACUUCGAGCAGAUUUUGAAACUGCUCACAUGAAUGAAGGGGAGAGCAUCUCCGACUAUCACUCAAGGCUCAUUAUGAUAGUAAAUCAGAUGAGGAGAAAUGGCGAGAGACUCGAUAAAGUACGAGUUGUGGAGAAGAUACUCCGGUCACUCACAUCUAAGUUUGAACAUGUGGUGACUGCCAUUGAGGAAUCCAAGGAUUUGGAGGAGAUGAGCGCAGAUGAGCUACUAGGAUCCCUCCUAGUUCACGAGCAACGCAUUCAGAAGAAUGCAAGCCCCACAACGCUAGAGUAAGCUUUGGAGUCAAAGUUGAAUAUUGACAAACCAAAUAAAGGUCAUGGGCAGUGGAACUCACGUCAUGGGAGUUCAUCCAACCGUAGUCGAGGACGAGCUCGAGGAAGAGGUCGAGGCUAUGAACAAAACCGAGGUCAAUCUCAAGAGUGGAGAUCUACCCGAGGAAAGGCGCAUAUCCAAUGUCACACUUGCAAGCAAUAUGGACAUUAUGCAAAUGAAUGUUCAUAUAAAAAUGGUGAGCAUGUCAACAUGGCAGAAUCAAAUGGAAAUGCUGGUGAGGAACUUACAGUCUUACUAUCACACCAUGAUAUCAGUAGCCAACAAGAUGUUUGGUAUUUAGACUCUGUUGCAAACAACCACAUGUGUGGAAAGAAAGAGUUUUUUGCCGAACUCAAAGAUGGGCCUUAUGGAUCUGUGAGUCUUGGUGACUCCUCAAAGUUGCCAAUUGAAGGCAAAGGAAAGAUCAAAAUCAUCCAAAAGGAUGGUAAAGAAGAAUACAUCUCCGAUACCUACUACAUACCAGGUAUGAAGAGCAACAUUCUGAGCAUUGGUCAACUGCUCCAGAAAGGGUAUGUUAUACAUAUGGAGGAUAUGUUUCUCACUCUCAAGAAUGCAAGGAGAAAGCUUAUUGCACGUGUUCAAAUGUCAAAAAACCGAAUGUUCCCGUUGAAGUUGAACACAAAGAUUGGGAGUUGCAACAUUGGUGUAAUGGAAGAUGAGUCAUGGAAAUGGCAUCUUCGAUAUGGCCAUCUUCAUUUCAAUGGCCUAAAGUUGCUGUCAAGUGGAGGAAUGGUUCGUGGUCUACCCCAAAUUGAAGCCACACGCCAAGUAUGUGAAGGCUGUGUGCUUGGCAAGCAAGCACGACUAUCAUUCCCUGUUGGUGAUACAUGGAGAGCAAAGGCACCACUGCAGAUGGUACACACGGAUAUAUGUGGUCCAUUGGAUCCUAUGUCCUAUGGAGGUAAUAGGUAUUUUAUUACUUUCAUUGAUGAUUUCAGUAGGAAGACUUGGGUUUAUUUUCUCAAUGAGAAGUCGGCUGCCCUAAAAAUCUUCAAGGAGUUCAAGGCACUCACAGAGGCUGACAGCAACCACAAGCUUGUGGCUGUGAGAUCAGAUAGAGGUGGAGAGUACACCUCCAAUGCUUUCCAAGCAUACUGCAAGGAGCAAGGAAUUAGGCAUCAACUGACUGCUGCCUAUACACCACAGCAAAAUGGGAUAACCGAAAGAAAGAAUCGAACCAUCCUUGACAUGACAAGAUCCAUGCUUAAGGAGAAGAAUUUGCCAAAAGAAUUAUGGGCAGAAGCUGUAGCUUGUUCGAUUUAUUUGUUGAAUCGAUGUCCAACAAAGAGUGUUAAGAAGAUGACACCAUAAGAGGCUUGGAGUGGAUAUAAGCCAAAUGUUGCACACCUAAGAGUUUUUGGGUGUGUUGCAUAUGCUCAGGUUCCAGAAGCCAAGAGGAGAAAGCUCGAUGAUCGAGGUGAAAAGUGUGUGUUGUGGGCUAUAGUGAAGAGUCCAAGGCAUACAAGCUCUACAACCCACUAACUGGCAAAUUAGUGGUUAGUAGAGAUGUCAUCUUCAGUGAGGAAGAGGCAUGGAAGAGGAACAACAAAGAAGUCAGUAAAGGGAAGAUCGUCUCCACUGAUUUUGAAGAACCAGAAGUUGUACCACCUGUUGAGCAACAACCUGCUCAAACAAACACAACAACUCCAUUGCACAGAACUGCAAGGAGUGGUCCUACAUCCAGUGAAGAAAGCAGCUCCUCAACUUCAGUGAGGCUAAGAAGUCUUACCGAGAUAUAUGGACAAGAAGAAGAAGAAGAAACCAACAUUUUCUGCUUGUAUGCAGACUACGAGCCUCUCUCAUUCAAUGAAGCUGUGGAAGAAGAUCGUUGGAGAAUAGCCAUGGAGGAAGAAAUCCAUGCUAUCGAGAAGAAUGACACUUGGGAGUUGACAAAGCUCCCACCAAAUCAGAAGGCUAUUGGUGUCAAGUGGGUGUACAAGAUCAAACGCACUGCAGAUGGGAGUGUGGAUCGAUACAAAUCAAGGCUUGUAGCAAAGGGCUACAAACAGAAGUAUGGAGUGGACUAUGAUGAAGUCUAUGCUCCAGUUGCAAGACUUGACACGGUAAGAUUACUAGUCUCUCUUGCCGCUCAACAUAAAUGGAAAAUUUAUCAACUAGAUGUCAAGUCAGCCUUCCUUAAUGGAGUUCUUGAGGAAGAAGUGUACGUGGAACAACCAGAAGGCUUUCAAGUACAAGGAAAAGAAGAUAGGGUGUAUCGUUUGAAGAAGGCUUUGUAUGGCCUCAAGCAAGCACCACGAGCUUGGAACUCAAGGAUUGACAACUACCUUCACCAAAAUGGAAUUCAGAAAUGUCCAUACGAGCAUUCAGUUUACAUGAAGAAUGGUGAAAAAGGGGAGUUCUUAAUUAUUUGUCUCUAUGUAGAUGACUUGGUGUUUACAGGAAACAAUGAAGCAAUGUUCUGUGAGUUCAAGCAAUCCAUGUUCAGUGAAUUCGAGAUGACUGACAAUGGAUUAAUGUCAUACUUUCUUGGCAUAGAGGUGAAGCAAGAAAGUGACGGUAUCUACAUCUCUCAACAAAAGUACAUGAGAGAUAUAUUGGAGAAAUUCAAUAUGGAUAAGUGCAAUAUUGUCAACACUCCAGUUGCAACUGGAUUGAAGCUGUCUACGGAAGGAGAAGGUGAGUUUGUAAACUCAAUCGUGUACAAAAGCUUGGUUGGAAGCCUAAGGUACCUUACAAUCACAAGACCUGAUAUAGUUUAUGGAGUUGGACUCGUGAGUCGGUACAUGGAAACACCAAGGGAGUCUCAUUGGCUGGCUGCCAAGAGAAUCUUGAGGUACAUAAGAGGUACUCUAAACUAUGGUCUGUUUUAUAAUUUUGGGGAAGAUGCAAAAUUAUUUGGUUAUUCAGAUAGUGAUUGGGGAGGUGACCAAGAUGAAAGGAAAAGCACAACUGGCUAUGUGUUUUUUCUAGGAUCAACAGCUUUCUCAUGGACUUCAAACAAGCAAUCAAUUGUUGCUUUGUCAUCAUGUGAAGCCGAGUAUGUUGUUGUAGCCUCAACAGUGUGUGAGGCAAUUUGGUUAAGAAAUCUAUUGAAGUCAGUGUGUCAUCCACAAGUGGAAUCGACUGUGAUUCAUGUGGAUAACAUGUCUGCAAUCAAGCUUGCAAAGAAUCCUGUUCAACAUGGAAUGAGCAAGCACAUUGAUACCAGGUUCCAUUUUCUAAGGGACCAUGUAAAGCAAAAGACAAUCGAACUUGUCUAUUGUCACACGAAGGAACAAGUGGCAGACAUCUUCACUAAGCCACUACCAGUUGAAUCAUUCCAGCUGCUACGUGAAAUGCUAGGAAUGAAGGCGUUUUGAUUUGAGGAGGUGUGUUGGAAAUUCAAAUCAAAACAGGUUGUAAAUGGCAGCUGCUAGCUGUUAGUUUCUUUACAGGUUGUAUUCACACUUGCUGCAACUACAAAGACUAAAGUUUCCUCCAUGUGCCAGCUGAAAGUGUGUUGAAAGACAGCAGCUGUGUGCUGCCAUGUGAUGUGCUAGCCGAAACUAUGUUGAUUGCAAGCUGGAAAGAUAGUUGCACAUGUGUGCUAGACUGUCCAAAGUUCAUAUGAUCUGUUUGUGUGUGCUGUUGUGUUUAUUUUAUUAAAAGCACUUGAGUGGUCCUUCAUUUUCUGCUUGUAUAAAUAAGCCUCCCGUAAGGCUUUAGGUAGUGUCUUUGAUUUGUCAUUCCAUUUCAGAAGUGUGUUCGCAAACUAUUUUAAAUAUAUCAAAGUGCAUUGUUUGCCGAAGCUUGUAGCUUCCCUCCUUUCUCUAUUUCUUUGUCCAAUUUUAUUGAGAGUGCAAAGUGAGAGGUGUGAUAGAGUUUGUAAACUUAUCACCCAUAUAUUUUGGUAUUGAGUUAGUGAACUUCUCAAUACCAACAGAUAUUAGGAAGGAUCUGUAUGGAAAUAUUAUCCUCAGUGGAGGCUCCACUAUGUUCCCUGGAAUUGCUGACAGGAUGAGCGAAGAGAUUACAGCCUUGGCUCCAAGUAGCAUGAAGAUUAAGGUCGUAGCACCACCAGAGACGAAAUACAGUGUCUGGAUCGGAGGCUCCAUUCUAGCAUCCCUCAUCACUUUCCAACAGGUAACGUGUCGUGUAUGUGUGCAUCUUUUCAACCAAAAACAGCUAAAACACCUCUCCUGUUCUUUCUCUUGUUUGUCAAAGUGCUUAUGUGACAAUUCAUUCCGGAGGUAACUUAACGUAUUCAUAGAAUUUCAAACUCAAAGCUAUUUCUAUUUCUGAGUGCAGUUGUGGAUUGCAAAGGCAGGGUACGAUGAGUCUGGCCCCUCAAUUGUUCACAGGAAAUGCUUCUAAUCGCGCAAACAAAGCAAGCGGGGAACAAAGAAUUUACACAUAACCGAUUUUGUAUUACAGAAAGGCUUCUUCUAUUUGAGCGGUUGCGGAAUUUCUUUUUGUAUUCAUUUUCGAAUUUCAUUCAUGUCGAUUUCUCUACGUUGGUUGUGACGGGACAUGAGCAUUAAUGCAGAACGACAAAGAGAUAGAGGAGAUGUGUCAAAAACACACGAGGCUUGACAGAAAAAUGAUAGAAGAGCAAUGCUCAAUUCUUCAUUACCAUAAAAUUAUAAUUCCAAAUUGUCUCCUUUAACAUAUCAAACUCCUUCCCUAAUAUACUAGUGUGACAAAACGUCUUCAUCAAUGCAAAUACAACUCCCUAAGCCACCGAAGCAUAUUAAAUGGCAAUUGUUCCACCUAGCUACUUAAUUUAAAACACGACUUACAAUGGAUCAAAAUUACUACAAAAUAUUAAAUCACAGCCUAAGAUACAUGAAUCUCAAAUUAAUAAUUAACGGAAUGGCCAAAUACAAAAAUACCAAAAACCCCGUUGAAUAAGCUCCUUAUAUAUGCACUGCAUCAAGCAUGGAGGCGAGCAAAUUAUGAUUAAGAUUCAAUUUUUUCAUUCCUAGUGUUUUGUUGUAGAGAAACUAUGUAUUGUUACGGAUAUGGUAUGGUUGAAAUCAAAAUUCCUCUUCACUACUCUUUGUUUUGUACCAUGAUUUGGGAAUACAGGACUUGACAGUGUUAAAUAAAAUUAAUGAAACAUAGUACAAGUUCGUUUAUAAGCAAUCCGAAUAAAAUAAAUUCAACUAUUAGUACAAAAUUCGUUGACAACUUCGACACUCUUAAUUGAACGAUCUGGCAAUUUUUUUUCGCUCUGCAUUAAUUUGAGAUUCAUUUAGAGAAGCGGAAGUAGAUAAAAUUACAAAACCACAAACGGUAAAAUCACAAGACCGGUAAAAGCCGACCCAAAGCAUCACAAUGACAUAUUGACUUCGAUAUUUGGGGCGAAACCGGUAAGCUCUUAUCUACAUUCCACUCUCAUUGGUAUUGGAUUUUGAUUGACCAUCUAAAUACAAAUUUUGACUUGCACCGCAUAAUUUCAAUUUACUAUUUACAAUCAGAUUUUGAGAUUUCUUUUUAAUAAAUCAAAUAAUGAUCCCACGCAAUGGAGAGUUGGGUCAUUUCAGUUGCACAUGGCCAGAAAAAGAAAACAAAUGAGAAAAGAGGGACUGUUUUUUCAGAAAAUAUUUGACUUGAGGGGUACUCUAGUAGGCAUUUUCAUUUGUAUUUCAUAGCUUAACUUAUGUUUUUUAAUGUGAUCUACUUAAAUAAUUUUGCAGGCUGCAAAUAAGAUGCGAUCAGUUUUUCACCCAACUACUUUUUGAGAAGAAUGUUCCGGCAAAGAGAAGAGUUUCCAUCUUCUUCGACAACACAACCAAUGCAAACGUGAAUGGUAAGAUGUCGUACUAAGAUAUGGCUUUUCUACUUGCUCUAUGUAUUCUUCUGUUUGUUGCAGUAAACAUACAAUCAGUAAAUAGUAAUUUUAUGUGUAUUUGGUUGUGAAUGUUCAUAUUUUAUAUGUCAAUCAUAAGAAGGUUUACUUCAUUUUUACGUUUUCUAAUCGGUUUCAUUGUGAAGUUUAAUUUUACCUGACAUCAAUCUCCCUUCAACAGUUUUGGGUUCUUAUGUCAAAGUUAAGCACAAUGGGGCAUCCAAAGAAAAAGUCGUCUUAGCAACAAGAAGCUUCUCCUGUUUAGGAAAUUUUUUUAUUGUGAUUUGUUGGUUGACCAAUUCGGAGUUUAAGAUUUUAAUUUUACUGUAAUAUUAUUUUUUACAAUGGAGGGUUAGUUUUCCUUUGUAUAUUGAGGUUGUGUUUGUGCGGUUCAUUUAUGCAGUUUGACGACAAUUUAGAUAGUGUAAUCAGUUUAGCUUCAUUUCGUUUAUAUGCUUUUCUCUUUUCAAGUUGAGAGAUUUGUUGUACCUUAAGUUAAAUCUAAGGUGCAAAAGUUCAUACAAACUUUUAGCCAAAAAAAAAAAUGAAAGAAUGUCUCUUGACAAAUACAAAUAUUAAAAUUUAAAAAAUUGUACGUCACGCUUAGCACAUUGUAACCAUAAGAAAGUUUUUAUGCGUGAACAAAUGUAAAAAGAAAAAAUAACUCUAAGCGCCGCGCGUAGCGUUCCGUGAUAUAAAAAAACUCAUGCGCGUGCAGAAAUGCUAGUUUAUAUAUAAUUGAUCAUGUAGUUCACAGAAACAUGUAUCUAGAUCAUACUUCAAUGAUCUAGAUUAAUGCAUAAACUAACUUUAUAAUGCCAAAGUAUGUAAGAAAUGCAUGAUCCUCGCCGCCUGCAUAUAUGCAUGCCAAGUCAAUGAACAAUUGAUGGACAAUUCUACACGUACCUCUUACUGUGCGCAAGUGUCAAAUUUCAAGGACACCAAAAGGUUUUUGGGACGCCUCCUUUGUUUGAAUCCGAUCAUUCAAACAAAAAGGCACGAAUCGAACUCCAAUAAUAUCCAUGUCCUUUAUACUGUUAUCUUCAUCAAUAUAAUGAAGUGUCACAAUUAGAUAUCUUCCGUCAAUCAUUGUAUUUAAGAAGGUGACAAUUUUUUCAAUUAUACCACCAUGAAAUAUAUAACGACAGUCAAUCUUCCAACGAUCAUCAUGUACAAUGAUUUGAAGAUCGUCUCCAACUUGUUGGAAUUUUUCUUCACUGCUUUACGUAUACUGCAUAUACAUCUUACAGCCCAUAAUCUUUCGAAUCACAUUUUCUAACAAUUGCAUAUAAAAGAAAUAUUUUCAUAUAUGUAAGUUGAACCAGAGUGUAUAUAGAAAACAACUAAAACUAAUGAAAGUACAAAUUCAUUUACGUUCAAUCCGAAUAAAAUAAAGAAUACAUUUAAACAACUUGGCAACUCUUUUCGGCUUGGAACAUGGAUUCAUUUAAACGGCUGUAGAUAAAAUGCGAAACCCAAGCCACCAACAUAAGAAGCGCGGUAGCAGCCCCACCGACCAUCACAAGAUUAAGAACCGGGAGCGGUCGUGUGAUUUUUGAGCUUGGUGACAUUGCUUUAGCAUUAGUAGGAGAACCUGAUGGUGAGGAUGGAGAAGGAGAGGGACUUGGACUAACUACUGGAUCUUCUAUUUCGAGGGCAUUGAUCUUGAUUUUAAUCUUUUGGCCGGCUUUGCAGUGACCAGGUUCACCACAAAUAACAUAGUAGGUGCCCGGUAUAUCAAAAGUUAAGGCGGUAAAGGUACCGUAAUGAGAUAGGGGAAGUGAUGGAAUACAAUAGUCAUAAUCUGCUUGAGUGACUAUCAUCACAAAAUCAUAUUCAUGUUUGUAAUUAAAUAUGAACUCGUCGCCCACAUAGAAUUUUUUCGAUGAAGCCCACUCGUUGUAAU
This 80742-nucleotide long non-coding RNA is filed under the name Malus domestica (apple). RNAcentral describes it as "long non-coding RNA (MDOM_LNC013719)". Lineage: Eukaryota; Viridiplantae; Streptophyta; Magnoliopsida; Rosales; Rosaceae. The record is from RNAcentral.